This 78482-nucleotide long non-coding RNA is filed under the name Capsicum annuum. Its description in RNAcentral is "long non-coding RNA (CANN_LNC019428)". Lineage: Eukaryota; Viridiplantae; Streptophyta; Magnoliopsida; Solanales; Solanaceae. The record is from RNAcentral.
UUGAAAAUUAUAGAAAUAUAACUUGUUCCUCUUCUUGCUAAUGUUACUAUAUCUUUUUUAUUUCAUUUCAAAAAAAAAAAUUAAUUUUUACUUCAGAUUCUGAUCUUUGAUUCAUAUUCUUAUCUUUGAAAUAAUAAUAUCAUUCAAAUAAGAAAGAAGAGAAAUAUUCGAACUUGAAUCUUUUGUUUUCUAAUUUAAAUAAUGUAAAAAUGGAAUGUAAGUAGGCGAGGGGGCGGAUGUAGCCAAGUGGAUCUUCAUUUAGAAUAUAUCUGGUUGAUAAAAGAGUGGAAAGACUGAAAAGUCCCUUUAAAAAAAUGACUUAAAUUACUAAUCGAGGGCUACGAUGGUUGAAGCAACGGUCCGUCACUAGCCUAAUGGUCGAUCGGAUCGUCCAUCGCACGACGGUUAGAAAAGAACACACUGCCUCAAUGUGACGGUCUCAGUGAUGGUCCAUGGAAAAUUCAACGAUCUUUUGGAAGGUCCGUCGCAUGUUGACCAAGAUAAGUCCAUACUGCCUUAGCGGUGACAAUCUCAGUGAUGGUCCGUCGUCCUGGCCGUCACACUUAAGAUAGAAAAGAGAGUUAUUGCCUUGGUUGUGAUGGUCCAAGCGAUGGUCCGUCGUACACUCGAUGGUCCAUCAACCUAUCCAUCACACCUAGGUGGUUCCAACAACUCUCGAUAAAACGACCAUAACUUCCCACCCUAAUGAUUGAUUUGACCGAAAUUGGUAUCGUUGGAAAGAUAAUUCAAUGCUCUACAUGAAAAAAAGUCAAAUUUAAAAAAAUUCUAUAUGGUUAAUUAAACACCAAUCACUUAGGAUGUUUUUACUCAAUAUAACAGGGCCGGAAUUACACUUUACUUGACACGCUCAAGGCUCAAAUUACAAGAGAACUUUGUGGGGUCUUACAAUUAUCUCCCUUUGAAACAUUCGUCCUUGAAUGUCGAUAGUUAGACUAGGAACACAGGAAAACAGAGUACACAUAGCUAAAGAAAUUAGCUAAACAGGCUCAAAAUCUUUCUAAACUAUUAAAUACCUUGGAAAUUACAAGAACUCAUGCAAGAAUAGAUAUAUAGAUGAACUUUAGAUUAGAAGGGAUGAAUUAAGGAAGAAUAAUACCUUCGGAUCGAUCUGAACUCGCAGAAAAGAGGUGCGAGUACUUGGCUCGCAUGUCUACUUUUGUCUCCCAAGUAGCACCCUCAACUGACUGGUUCCGCCAUAAAACUUUGACCAAGGGAACCUCUUUUUUCCUCAGCCUAUGGAUCUGAAAAUUUAGGAUCUCAAAAGGAAUAUCAUCGAAGGAAAUACUAUUCUAAAUAUCAGCACUCUCUAAGGGAUCUACUACAACAGAAUCACCAAUAUGCUUUUUAAGCAUGGAAACAUGAAAAAUAGGAUGAAUGACUGAUAACUCCACAGGCAACUCAACCUCAUAGGCUACUUUCCCAACACGGCUCAAAACUCUAUACGAGCCAACAUAACGGGGACAAAACUUUUCCUUUUUACCAAACUUCUUCACCUCUUUCAUGGGUGAAAUCUUCAAGUACACCAAAUCACCUACUUCAAACUCAAGAUCGCUUCUCCUCAUAGCGGCAUAUGACUUUUGACGACUCUGAGUUGUCUUUAACCUCUCUCUAAUCAACUUAACUUUCUCUAUAGCUUCAAAAACUACAUGAGGUCCAAUCACGACAGCUUCACCCACUUUAAAGCAACCUUCUACAUCUUCUACCAUACAAGGCCUUAACUGGUGCCAUUCCGAUGCUAGAUGGGUAACUAUUGUUAUAGGUAAACUCUAUUAAUGGCAAAUGCUCAUCCCAACUACCUUUGCAAUCAAGACCACACACCCUCAACAUAUUUUCUAGGGUCUGAAUUGUCCUCUUACUAGACCAUAUUUUUGCGGAUGAAAAGCAGAACUCAAAAGAAUUGGGUACUAAGACAAUGCUGAAACGCCCUCCAAAACUGAGAAGUAAAUUGAGUACCCCUAUAUGAAAUGAUAGACGAGGUAACUCCAUGCAUCUUGACUAACUCCUAGAUAUAUAAUCUAGCAUAAUCCUCCACUGUAUAAGAUGUAUGCAUGGGAAAAAGUGUACGAACUUAGUCAGCCUAUCUAUAAUAACCCAAAUAGAAUCAUGAUGACGACACGAAAGAGGUAACCCGAUCACGAAGUCCAUAUUCACUACCUCCUAUUUCCAAGUGGGUAUACUAAACUCUUGCAUCACACCACCAGGUCUUUGGUGCUCUACCUUAAAAUGUUGGCAUGUUGCACACAUUUUUACAAACUCAGCUAUAUCCUUCUUUAUAACAUUCCACCAAUAGAUUUCCCAUAAGUCGUGGUACAUUUUGGUAGUGCCGGGAUGAAUAGAGUACCGCGCGCCAUGCACUUCAGCCAUAAUCCUCUUCUUCAUAUCAUCAACACAUGGAACGUAUAAUCUACCCUGCAAUCUCAACACGGUAUCUCCCCAUUGGGAGAAAAUCUCUACCUUUUGGCCCUUAACUGUCUCUUUCAGUCUGACCAAACUAAGAUCUCUAUCUUGCUUCUCCUUCACUUUCGAAACUAAAGAGGAUUCAAAACUACUUUGCACCAAAGCACUUCCCUCAGCUGAAUCAAGCAACCUAAUAUCCAAUCUAGCUAGAAAAUGCAUAUCACAAGCUAAAUCUUUCUUACCUUCCUCUACAUGAGCAACACUACCCAUACACAAUCUGCUAAGGGCAUCCGCCACUAUAUUGACCUUGCUCGGGUGAUACAACACACUCAUAUCAUAGUCUUUUAACAACUCUAACCACCUGCUCUACCUAAGAUUCAACUCCCUCUGAGGAAACACGUACUGCAGGCUCUUAUGAUCAGUAAACAUAUCAACAUGAACACUAUAAAGAUAGUGUCUCCAGAUUGUCAAAGAAAAAACCACAGCAGCUAACUCAAGAUCAUGGGUUGGGUAAUUCUUCUCAUGCAGCUUUAAUUGUCUAGAGGCAUAGGCUAUAACCUUACCUCUUUGCAUCAACAUACAACCCAAACCAGCUCUAGAGGCAUCACAAUACACUAUAAAACCAUCUUUACCAUUAGGCAAAGUCAACACAGGGGCUGAAGUAAGUCGAGUCUUCAGCUCUAGAAAACUCUUCUGAUAGGAAUUUGACCACUUGAACUUAACUUUCUUUUGGGUCAACAGGGUCAUGAAAGAUGUAAUAGAAGAGAAACCUUCAUCAAGAUAGCGGUAAUAGCCUGCUAGACCUACGAAAUUUCUAAUGUCAGACGGAGAGAUAGAUCUAGGCCAAUUUCUUACAGCUUUUAUCCUUUAGGAAUCAACUCAAAUACCUUCGGCUGAAACAAUAUGACCCAGAAAGGCUACAGAACUUAGCCAAAAUUCACACUUACUGAAUUUGGCGAACAACUGGUGACCUCUAAGAGUUUGCAAGACAAUUAUAAGGUGAUCUGCAUGAUCAUGCUUAUUGUGGGAGUAGACAAGGAUGUCAUCUAUGAACACUAUGAAAAAUAUAUCAAAAUAUUGCUUGAACACUCGAUUCAUGAGGUCCAUAAAAGUUAUUGGGGCAUUGGUUAGCCUAAAAGACAUGACUAGAAACUCAAAGUGACCAUAGCUGGUUUGGAAGGCUGUCUUUGGAAUAUUACAUUCCCUCACUAUAAGUUGAUGAUAGCCAGAUCUAAGGUCUAUCUUGGAGAAAUAACUUGCACCUUGAAACUGAUCAAACAGGUUAUCAAUUCUCGGAAGGGGAUAUUUAUUUUUAACUAUGACCUUGUUAAGCUUACGAUAGUCAACGCACAUAUGCAAAGAACCAUCUUUCUUUCGUAUGAAUAAAAUUGGUACGCCCCAAGGAGAAAUACUGGGCCUUAUAAAACCUUUGUCUAAAAGAUCUUUGAGUUGCUCUUUCAACUCCUUAAGAUCAGAAGUUGCCAUACGGUAUGGCAGAAUAGAAAUAGGCUGAUUUUCAAGAAAAAAGUUAAUCCCAAAUUCUAUCUCUCCAUCGGGAGGUACCCUUGGGAUAUCUUCCGACAAAAUAGCUAGAAACUCAUUAACAAUGUUGACUGACUGAAUAGUUGGAGCCUCAAACUUAGUGUCUUUUACUCUAACUAGUUGAUAGAUGUAACCUUUGGAUAUUUCCUUUUUAGCUUUGAGAUAGGAGAUAAAAUGACUCUUGGGAGAUACCAAACUCCCAGACCACUCAAAAAUUGGUUCAUCAGGAAACUGAAACUUGGCCACAUAGGUAUGAUAGUUUAUAGAUACAUAACAAGAAUGAAGCCAAUCCAUAUCCAGAAUAAGCUCAAAAUCCACCAUGUCUAACUGUAUCAAAUCAACAUGUAUGACUCUAUGAAGAACAGUAACAGGAAAACCUCUAUACACUUGUUUAGGGACAACUGACUCCCCUAUAGGUGUAGAAACGAGGAAAGGCUCUGGGAUCUUUUUGAGAUUCAUUUUGAAAUUCACAGCCAUAAGUAGGGUCACAUAGGAGGGACUUGACCCGGGGUCCAACAACACAUAAACAUCAAAACAAAUAACACGAAACAUACCAGUAACAACAUUGUGAGACUCCUUCUGCUCCUAACGAGAUGGUAAGGCAUAGAGUCUGUUCUGGCGCUGACCGCCAGUAGUGCAAGAUAAAGCACCCUGAACAGGGGUGGUAGAAGGGCCAGAAGCUAGUGGACUAGUAGCCGCUGCCUAAGGUCGGGCAUCUAUGGUCCCCUACCUAGCAUACGGGCAAUGUCUAAGUCUAUGGCCUAGCUUUCCACAACCAAGAAAAGCCCUUAAAUCUAUGAAACACUCACUAGGAUAAUCCCUACCACACUUACCACAAGGAGGAUAACAGGGCCUGUUACCAACACUGUUCUGCAACCUAGACAUAAAAGACCUACUCCCUUGUUCCUGCCUUCCUCUUAUUAUUAAUAAUUAUAAUUGAGAAGGAUUUUUUGUAGCCACGACUUUGGUCGUAGUAAGUUUAAACCCAUAAACCCAGUCCACUUGCAUUUUGGCUCAACUUUAUCCCAGUUUUGCCGAGGGAGCAACCCCAUUUUUCAAGGCAUGGGAGCACUAGCUAAUGAAGGUGAUAGAAUAGAUGAACAUCUCUAAAACUGAGGGAGGUUCCCUCCAUAGAACCUAGGAUGACUAUACUCAUGCUGCUCAGAUCUAGCUCUCUUGUUACCCCUUACUCUCUCUCUGUCUAAUCUUAUCCACUUUUAUCUACUGUGCAUGCAUUAUCAACCUAGACAAAUCCAUAUCCCUAUAUAGCAUCGCAGUCCUACACUCUUUCCGCACCAACCGAGAAACAUCUAUCAUGAACUUGCUCAUACUAGUGCGGGUGUCAGAAAUUAAAUCAGGAGCAUCUUGGCCAACUGGUUAAACUUCAAGUAGUACUUCUUAACAGUCAUGGAGCCCUUCCUCAAGUGCAUAAACUCCUCAAUAUUUGCUUCCAUUAUCUAAAGCAGAAAGAACUUUUCCAAGAAUGCAUCUUGGAACACCUGCCAAGUCAUAGGAGUAGUAUCCUCACCUUGACCCUUCCUCUAUGAUACAAUCCAAUUAUAAGCUAUGUCAUUCAACUUGUAAGAUGCCAACUCAACACUUUUUUCCUUAGAAAUAUGCAUCACUUGCAUGAUCUUUCUCACCUCCUCAAGGUACAACUAUGGGUACUCACCUUCCCUGGACCCAUAUAACUCUGGAGAAUUCAUCCGCAUGAAAUCACAGAUCCUAGAAGUAGUUACAUCACCUCCCUGCUGAUUUAUAACUACGGCCUAGUUAUUGGCCUUAACAUUAGCGGUGACUGCAUGUGCUAACGCCUUAAAGGCUACUCGAAACUCAAUAUGAGACACAGUCUCAUUCAAAGGAUCAACAGGUGGGGGUUGUUCAUCAUUGUUUCCAUGGGCAUUUGCUCUUUGGAGAGGAAUUUUCUAAAAUAGGAGAGUACAAAUUAUUAGAUGAGAGAGACAACCGUAGGCACGAUAGAAUCUAAAAGAGAGAAAUAACUUUUCCUAAAAUAUUUUGUAGCCUCAUAUUUUGUAGCCACUUUCUCAUAGAUGUGCCGUGCUACACACUGAUGAUCAAGACUCUACUCAACGCGACUUGUCAAAAUCCCUAGGACUUUUUAAAAACCUUAUGCUUUGAUACUAAGUUUGUAACGACCAAAAAUCACCUCCCGGGAAGUCACACGGUGCUUAGGUCUACAAGUAGCCCCAAGUUAACCCUUUGAGCCUAUCACUGCUCAUAAUAACUCAUUCAAGAAGAAAUAUACAAAACAUCAUCACUAUUAUAUCAAAUAAAAGGAAAUACGAAGGUAAUACUCAGUCUAAAUGACCACAAUACUGGAAAUUUCAACACAGCCACAGUCUGAUAACUAGUUUAACAAAUCCUCUAUUACUCCAUAAACUCAAGAGCUAUUAGGACAUGUCCUAAACUAAUCAAACUGAAUUGAAAGUAAUAACAUCAACACUUGAAUACUAAAAUAUCUGAAGAAAUGUCCUCGUACCAUGAGGACUUACCACUAUAGAAUAGUAGAUGAAGGUACUUGAAAAUCACUAACGAGGCUGGGACUGAGCACCUGAACCUACAUUAUAAGACAAUAUAGCACAUAGACAUAUAUGUGGAUCAACACUUAGAAAUGUACUGAGUAUAUGGGGGUGUAUGCAUUUACAUAAAGCAAUAUCAAUACCCUUUAAUCAAAUCAUGCAUACAAAUAGGAAUGAAUCACAUGGCUCUAAUAAUUCUAAAAUGUAAAGCUCAUAAAUCAUUUAGAAUGAAGCAUGCAACACAAAUCUCAUGAGUCAUUAUACUUUGGCUUUAAAAUUUGUGCUCUCCUCUUAUUCUCAUUACUCAUAGGAUGAAGGACGCUUUAAAAAAUAUUUUCAACUCACGCAUAUAUCUCAUGGAGAGUAAACCUUCUUUUUUGCUCAAGAACUUAUAACACUUUUGAACUCAAACACUCGGAACUCGGAAUCAUGACUUUGGUUUAAAAACGGAUGAUCAACUCUUAUUAGUAGAUAAAAUUACUUCCUUCUAUGGAAAAUACUCAAAAGAAAUUUUUCACUUUAGAAAAUAUCUCAUCUCAAAGCUUUAGGGGAAAUAUUUUAUCUCAAUGGAAAAUACUUUAGUUUAGGGAUGUUCUCUUAACCGACAUAAACCAUGCGAGCUACAUAGAGUCCAAUGUCUUGUCCUCCUAAGGAAGAAACCUCACGUUGGGGAGAGACAUCAUACUCUUGCCAAGGAGUAUAACCUCAACUUAGUGAUCACUUAUCUCAGCCUCAGGCCUAAAAUCUCAAACCUAUGGUGGCACUUAGUUUUAGGGUAAGAAACUGUGGUAACUUACCCAACUAGGUGCUAAAUACUACUCCCUUUAGUUUAUCUAACUCAUCUCAUAGAAAUCCACAUUCAAAAUAAUCUCAUGGUUCAUAAGAACCCAAUAAUCAAAUAUGUAAUCUCAUAUGGUAGAGUGGAUUUCAAAACUCUAUGACCUUUAGGUCAAAACAUUUCUCAUUAAUCUCAAAAUUCUUAAAUCAUGGGUGCUUAUAGAACAAUGGUUCAUAAAAUUGCAAGUGUCAAGUAGGGGUUAAUGACCCAUAAUUCAAUCUCAAGUUAAAACUUAUCAUAAUGCAUAAUAGAUAGUAUAUAGAUUCAUAAUUCAUGAAAAAAUCUGGAAGUUACAACAAUUUGUCUUAGAAUAUCAACAUACUCAUAUACUUCAAUUUGUAGAACAUUGAAACUCUUAAAUUCUCAAGGAGUCACAACAUAGGGUAUAAACCUAGCUUUAAUUUAUUAAGAAAACAUGCAAAAUCAUGUUAUUUGACUUUCAAUUCAUGGGAAACAUCAAAAUAUUGCAAUCAAUAACAAUGGGUGAAAAACCCUAAUUCAAUAUCAUGUAAAAUCUCAUAGAUUGCGGAAAAUUAUAGUUUAAAUAAGCCUUUGGGCACAAAGGUGAAAGUAUGACCCUUGUUCAAAACCCCACAUACCUUAGAUUAUGAAAUGAGAUGAAUAAGCUUACUUCAAACUCCUCUUAUUACUCUUGAGAGAGGUUUGUUGCAACCCUUGAACUUGAAGAACUUAAAUCUCAACUCAAUUUGAAGAAUCUAUGGUGAGUUCUUAGAUUUAUUAGAGAAGGGUUUUAGAUUUGAUCUUGAGGGAGAAACCUUAGCUCUCUUAUGUUUUGAGAUGAUGAAUGAAGUCAUUAGCUUUGUUUAGAAUAUAUCUGGUUGGUAAAAGAGUGGAAAGACCGAAAAGUCCCUUUAAAAAAAUUACAUAAAAUACUGAUCGGGGGUUGGGAUGAUCGAAAAGACAGUCCGUCGCUAGCUUGACGGUCCGUCGAUUGUCCAUUGCACGUCGGUCAGAAAAUAAUACACCUCCUCAAUGUAAUGGUCUCAUUGAUGGUCCAUCAUAUACUCGAUGGUCUGUCGGAUCAUCCAUCGCAUGUUGACCAAGAUGAGGUCACACUGCCUCAGCGUCGACGGUCUGUCACAGUCUUAACUGUCUGUAAUCCUGACCCUCGUACUUUGGGACAGAAAAGGGAGUUACUACCUUGGUUGCGAUGGUACAAGAAAUGGUCCAUCAUACACUUGACAUUCCGUCAAUCUGUCCAUCUUACCUAGAUAGUUCCAACAACUCUCGAUAAAACGGCCAUAACUUCCCACCCUAAUGCCGGAUUUGGAUGAAAUUGGUAUCGUUGGAAAGCUAAUUCAAUGCUCGAUAUGAAAAAAAGUCAAAAUUAAUAAAAUUAUAUAUAGUUUAAAUACCAAUCACUUGGAUAGUAUCUUCUCAAUAUUUUAGGGCUGGAAUUACACUUCACUUUACACAUUCAAGGCUCAAACUACAGGGGAACUUUGCCUAGUCAUACACAACCCCUCAUAGAAAAAUUACAUGGUGACUGAGUAGGAGUUACUAAUGGUGGUGUUUGAAUUUCAUAAUUUCCAGUCAUAUCUAAUUGGUACCAAAGUCAUUGUGCAGACCAAUUUUGUAGCCCUUAGGUAUCUUAUGUCAGAUGCUAAGUCCAAUUUUAUUCGAUGGGUACCAUUGUUGCAAGAAUUUGACUUUGAGGUUAAGGAUUAAAAAGCAUAGAAAAUCAGGUUGUGGAUCAUCUAUUCCACCUAGAAGAGGAGGCGAUGCUUGAGCUAAGGGAUGAUCUUGAGAUUGAUGAUCCUUUUCCAGAUGAGCGCGUCUUAACAACAUCACAAAACUUAAUCCCCUAGUUUUCUGACUUUGCCAAUUAUUUGGGAAGUGACCUUUUUUUGGAAACACUUGUUGUUUCAGCUACGAAAAUGAUUUAUGCUUCAGGUAUGUAAGUUCUUUUUGAAUGAGCCUUACUUAUUUUGGGUUUCUAUGGAUGGUGUGAUUCCUAGAUGUAUUCUUGAAGUGGAGAUAAUAAGUAUUUUGGUGGCCUAUCAUUCAUCACCGAUUGGGGGUCACCAUGAUAGUACUCGUACGGCCCAUAAUAUUUUGUAAUGUGGUUAUUACUAGCUGACAAUUUACAAAGAUGCAUAUGACUAUACUUGGGCCUAUGACCAAUGUCAGAGGAAGGGCAAUAUCUCAUGGAAAAAUGAGCUCUCUAUGACAUCGAUUCUUGAGCUAGAGUUACUUUAUGUAUGGGGUAUUGACUUUAUGAGUUUGUUUAUGAUUUUUCAUGGUAUAAAGUACAUAUUAGUUGCAGUCAACUAUAUGUAUAAGUGGGUGGAAGAAGUUUCACUCCCAAUAAUGAUGGUGAUGUAUCACUGCAUUUUUGAAGAAGAAUUUUUUCUCUCAAUUCGGUACCACAUGAGCCAUCAUUAGUGAUAGUGGGUCCAAUUUUUUCAAUGGUUUAUUGAUAAUGCUCAACUUACACGUCAAUUUGGGUGCAAGGUGGUCCUCAUUAAUAUAUUUACCCAACUUUGGAGUCGGGGUUGAAUCCAUGAGGAACAAUGUGAGUGGCAAUCAAAUUAAUUUGAAAUAACAGUUACAAGUUAAAUUCAAACAAAUGGUACAAAAAGAUAAAAUGUGGGAGGUGAGUUCCUACACUAAUGUUUCAUUUUGGGAUUUUCUUGUAUAAAUUUAGGGCUACGAAUAAUUAUAGUUAUAGCAAUUAUGAAUGGAUCUUGGGAUUACGCAUUACUAAGAGAGUGACAUGUGGGAGUUAGUCAUCAACAUCGAUUUAGUAGGUCAAAUAUGGGUAGGUUUGGUUAUAGAUUCUGAUGCUAGUCUUUCAACAAAACACCAGACUUUCACCCAUUGAUCCUUUAGAAUACCUAAUGGGUGUGUUCAAUAAUUAGCAACCAAAACCUCAAUUAAGGUAUCCCUAUUUCUAGGAUGACACUCAUGGCAUAGUUAACCUCACUUUCACUGUUAUUUCUAAGAUAGUGAUAAUUUAGCAAACUACACACAUAAUUGCCUAUUAUUGCUUUGGUCUCCAUAUACUUCUUUUGAGGAUGAUAUAGAUUCCUAAUCUUCACCCAAAAUCCUUCUUUCAAAGAUAGCCUUGGAUUUUCUAGAUCUUGGAUCUUUUACCCAUCAAACCCUUGUGGGUAUUUAGAGCUUUCACCCAAAAAAUCCCAACCAAACUAGCAUAGCAAUAAUAGAACGCAUAAACAUGAACUACCAAAUAGAUGCUAACAAUAACAACCCAGACACACUUUAAUCCCUAUUCACACAUAACCCCAAGAGUGAGAUUUAGCUACAUAUAAGAUAAAUAAGCAUAGAUAUACCCAUAAUCACCAUUAAAUAAAUUUGUGGUAGAUCGAAGAAAAUUUUACUUCAAACUUGGUUCUUCCAUAAUAUAAACAUUGGAAGUGAGAUAAUCUUCCACUUGUAAAGUCUCCAAUGUAUUCUUCACCUAAAAUUUAAACAAUAUUUUCUUCUCCAAAAAUGGAGUCUACAAAACCCUAAGUUAAACUAGAGGAAUAUUGGGGAAGAAGAAAUGUGAUGGAAUGAAUCCUACAUCAAUUAGGGUUUAUGGAAUGAAUCCUACAUCAAUUAGGGUUUUAGUGUUUUUGUUCAAAUUGGGAUCAACACAUGUAAUUAUAGUAUUGCUCUUGGUAUGAACAUUUCCGCCAAGCUAUGAUCGCAUAAGUAUGGCUGCGACCUUGACUACACAACCAGGAUUGACUUUUGCUCUCGCGGUUGAUUGACCAUCUUGACUGAACACGAUCGCGGCCCAUGGACCGCAACAGCGGUAACUGAGUCUAGUUUACUGCAAGUCUUUAGCUGUAUUUUUCUACUCCUUUUUGAUCAUUUCAAGCUCCAAUCCACAUCUCUUUGUCUUUACAACUCCUAUACCUGCAACGAGUGGAUAUCAGUACAUUAAAUCACAGUUAUGACUUAUUUACUCAUUUGAGACAAGGUAAUGUGCACAAAAAAUAAGUGUGAAUAAGUGGUAAAAUCACUAAUCAUCAACACCGCCAACUUAAGACCUUGCUUGUCCUCAAGCAACACUACCUGUUUUCCAUGAGCCACAAUUAUUUAUGCCCAAAUUGUAUGUCUUAAAGUCCAUAAUGGUUCCAACUUGAAUUGCAACCAUAAAUAGCUCAUUGGACACGUGCUAGACUAAUUUUACAAACCCCUCAUUAUAGAAUACAAUACUCAAAGAAUGCAGAAGACUUUGAAGAGUAAUAAAACAAUAAAAACCAAUACUCUAGAAGUAGCUCACCUUUUGACUAAAACUAAAGCAUACUCCAGUUGCCUCAUUAUCCGGGAUGUGAGAAAAAUUACUCACCUCAACUUGUUUUCUUGCCCAUCUCACAAGAAAGAAAAGUUUCACACACCAAACUACCGAACAAGUAACAAGGAAUUUUUAAGUGCAAAAUUCUCCCCUCACAAAAGAAAUCUCAACGCAACAAGUGUCAUGCCAUAGGGUUGCCCUUAUUUUCAAUCACCACUACAAAGAAGGUAAAAUUUUGGAGAUCUCGAAGGACUUUAUAAGCUUGUAACGUAGGUUCUGGUCAGGGUAGGAUAACAUUUAGGUAACUAGGUUACACCAUACCUUGAACAUCUACAUCACACUUUACAACUCUCCUCCUUUCGACUUUGGGCCACUCUAUUUUUCUUUAUUUCUUUGUUCAUGCCUAUCUUUUGCCUCCUUCUCCCCACUUUUAUUUUACUUUUAUUUCCAUGCAUUUUCUGACAUUUAUUUUAUGGGUACUUAUUAUUCCCAUACAUAAUUUUUUGAACAUCACUAAAAUCCAUAACAAAAUUUAUGGUAUAUAUAGAAGACUAAAACUAGAAAUAAAAGAAAAACAUGAUAAUCCAUAAAACUUGGGAACCAUCCGAAUACCUAAAAAUAUAGCAUCCAAAGGAAAACAUGAGAAAAAAUAUCCAAAACAUUAUCAAAAGAAAUAUCCAGCAAUAUAACACCAAACAAUAUAGAAUCUGGUGUCAGCCCCUACUUAAAUAAAUGCAGUGUCCAUAUUGCAUAUGCAAGAAGGAAGAGUAAAAAGGGCUCCCUAUAUCUAUAUCAUGAGCUAUCUCCUCCUAUAGACUCUGUAUUAUCAGAUAACCAUUCUGCAGGGGCAUCAUCCACACUAUCAACUCUUAGUGAAGGUAUUAGUUGGUUGGGUUUGAGAACCUUGAAUAUGCCUUUCACCCCUUCAAUAGCCUUUUGAAAAAAUUUAUCCCUCUUUUUCUCCUUCUUCACCAUCUCAUUAUGUGAGUCUUUUAGGCUCCUAUGGGAUUUAGCUAGGGAUGAAUAAGCUCUCUCCAAGAUGAAAACUAUGGUACCCUGCUUCUUCUACUCUUUUAUAUACUUAUCAUAAUCUGAUUAUGCCACAUAUGAAUGAUGAGUAGUGGAGGACUCUCCUAGUCCCUGAGGUAAUCGAGAAAAUAUCUUUCUUAUCCCCUAUAUUUGAACAGAAAUAUCAUCGAAGGCAAUCACUGAUGAGGGUCUUCAAGAGUGUUUGAACUCUUGGACUAAUUUGCCUAAGUCCAUCUUACUUUUCUUACUCGUAACUGGUGUGCCAAAACCUCUGAAUUUGAGUAGAUAGAUGACAGAGACAGGGAAUACCUAAGUGUCUAUAAUGUACUCCUCUACUUCUGAUCUCCUAGAUAAUUCAAUGAUAAAAGAUUGAAAAAGUAGAUAGGUACCUCCCUAGUUCUUAAAGUUUCACCACUCAGAGAUAGCAAUCUCACCUAUAUUCAGAGCAAUGCCAGAUAAGAUGCAUACUACCAUCCUAGCUCCCAUAUCUGUGAUAGUGGCCAUGAGUGUGUAUGGUGAGACUUUGCUAUAGAUGAUGCCAGCCACAGCCUGGCUUCAGCCUUGAAAUCCUUCAUCAAACUAUCUCAUUUGGUGAUGGCCCAUGGGACUUCCUUUCCAGUACAAAAUAUACCAAUCAUCCAAGUCCCAGGAUCGCAUACUUUGGCAUCAAACUCUCUCAUGUCAGUAUUUGGCAUCCCAUAAAUUGCAUUAAUUUGUACUGCUCUAAAGUGGACCUAUUUACCUGGAAUUUUCAUAACUGGGUUUAUGAGGGAGACUACAAAGAUGUUUUCUAUGACACCCUAAUUUUUUUGAACUAGAACACUACACGUAGCUUAUGAUCCUAAAGGACCACAAGCUAACCCAUGACUAAUAUUUGUACCUGUGCACUGCAUAAUAUAUAACUAUAAAUGUGAAAACAUAAACGGAAAGGCCAUAAGGUUCAAUACUAAACAUAAUCUAAAUAAUAACAAUGUCUGAAUAAAGUGGUAUAAUAAUACCAAAACAAAACUAAAAUCUAGACUGAAAGCCUCCAACUAUCUGAAGGAGGGAGUGGAAGGAAUAUGUCUCCAACUAACUCACGACUACUGAAAGCCAAACUAAAAUAAUGAGGUAAUAAAGUAGUAAUCAUGUCCUCAAAGAAUGAGGACUCACUGCUAACUCUGAUUACUGAAAUCUGCAAUACUACUGCUACUCUGAAACUCGCACCUCUAAACUAUGGCAUAAAAUAAAACACCAUAGCAUAAAUACAUCGGUACGACUGAAUAUACUAGGUAUACGAGUGAGGUAGGCUAAUUUCAAAGGGUUUAUAUGCAUGAACAAUGCUUACUAAUAUGAACAUGAGAAUACAUACAUGCAUAAAUAACUAUAACUGAACUUGUGGUGAUACUAACUACUGAGUCUGAAUGCUGACAAUAUGAGUGUACUGAUACUGAGAUACUGAAUGACUGAGUUCACUGGUAUUUAUAUGUAAGUAACUACUAAGUAAGGAACUGAUCCUGUAUUACUGAAUAGAUGAACGAUUAUUUCUAACAGUUUAAAUUAUAAAGAACUGGUCUGAUUGACUGUGUCCAACAAUCCUAAAACUGAAAGCUGAUAACAUAAGUUAUGAUGGAUGAUAUAACUGAUAUGACUGUGAUAAUCGGCAUAAACAAAGUAACUGAUGUUGAGAAAAUGUAUCUAACAGUCUAAGUUCUGAUGAAACUAUCUUAGUUUUGUUCUGUAUGGAGUAACUGAAUCUGAGAUCAGUCCUAUCUAGUGGGUGAUCUCUGAGUAUAAUGAUAACAAAGAUGAUUUGACUUAGUCUGAGAUCAGUACUACCUAGAGGGUAAUCUCUAAAUCUGAUGAUACUAAUACUAAUUGACUAUAGUUAAGGUCAGUCCUAUCUAGUGAGUGAUCCCAAAGUCUAUUGAUAAUGAUAGGGAUUGACUGUAUCUGACAAUCCUGAAUCUAUAACUAAAACUGUGGGAUGUAUUCAUCUAACUGAUAUGCCCCUUUUUAUCUAGUCUGGGGUCUAAUCUAUAACCCCAGUUGGAAGGGUGUCACUACUGCACCACUGGUAAAGACAACUAUUAUGGAGUCAGUCCUAACUUAGCGGAUGACCCCUGGGAUCAGUUCUAUACAUUUAAAUAUGCUAACGGGUGAUCUCUGAGUAUGUCAGUCCUAUCUAAUAGGUGAUAUCUCAUACCUAUGCUGGGUAUGUAGUUCUGGAACUUUGGGAUUGCUUCUAGGGAUCUCAGUCCUAUCUAGCGGGUGAGUCACCAACUCUAGGCUCGCUUGGUGCUGAAUCUACUCCCAUAAAAAAGACACUGAACUAAUUAAUUGAGAUGAACUAAUUAACUAAACUAAAUUAAUUAGCUGAACUAAACUAAUUAGUUAUACUGAUACUAGUGGUUUGGUUUAGCUGAGUUAAACUGUGUUUAUUGAGUUCUGUUGAUAGAUAGAAUGUACUAAUGUAUGAGGACUGACUGAGAGUAAUGUAGUUACUGAGAUUUUACUUGGAAUCCUGAAAUCACUGAGAUUACUGAACUACUGAGAUUUUCUAAGAUUUCCUGAGUCACAUGGUUGACUGAUUUCUAUGGAUCAUGGCUUGAUUGAGAGUAUCGUGAAAAUAUGACAUGGAUCUAGGCACACAUAAUAUUUUGGGUACUAGUACCCCCAAGACCCGAUAAAAGAAAACUAUCAAAGCAUGACUUGCUUGAAUAUAUAAUAAUCAUCAUAAUACAAUUACUGAAGCAUUUUAUCAAACAUGUGAUAGGCAUAAGAUUGUACAUACAUGGGGAUUUCAUGAUAUCAUACUAAUUAGACACUUUUCCAUCAUCUAGGCAUUUAAUCAAACAAGUGGUAAUCAUAGAAUGUGUAAACAACAUCAUAAAACAAUUAACUAUCAUGAUUCAAUUCUAAUUUAGUCAUUCAAGGGUUUAGUCAUAGGAUUUCAUGAAUCUAUACCUAUACAAAUCAACCCAUAUGGAAUUCAACACUCAUUUAUGUAAUACAAUUCAAUUACUCAUUUUCAACAUGAACAAAAGCAGACCAAUCAUGAAAUUCAUAAGAAAAUCCAUAACUUGAAUUUAGAAAAGAGAUUCUUGGUCUUCAUAGAUGAAAAGAGUCCAUGAAUAAAUACUAUGCAUACCUGGGAUAAGAUUCUUGAUGGUCUUGAACUUGAAGAAUUGGAAUUCCCUUAGUUCUUAAAGAAGAUUAGAUUUUGUUCUUGGAGAUUAAUGUUAGGGAGAAACCCUAAUCUUGUUUGAAAAUUGACCUUUCUUGAAUAUUCUUGGUUUGGGAAUCUUAAUUCUUGAAUAUCUUGUGGAGAGUGUGAUGGGAUCUUGAAGUUAAUUGAGAAGAAACCCUAAGUUUGUUCUUGGGAACAAAGAGGGUUAAGAGCUUUAGAAACUAAAUACCAGUAGCUAAAUACGUGUUUUUGGUUUUUUAUAUCAUGGGGUAAUGUUUUGGUUGAGGGAAAAAUACCAAAAUACCCCUACAAACUUACUUUCUAGUUGCUGAAAUUAUAAGCUGACGACAUGGGUUGAUAAGCCGUGAGGUUUGUGAUAGCCCCUCAUCCCAGGUCGUCACCUAGGACCUGAAAUUGAUGGGUUGAUGUUUAAGCUUGACAACAUUAGCUGAUAAGUCAUCAGAAAUGUGAUAAGCUAUCAGAUAGGUCGACAAAAAUAUGAUAAGCCUGAAGACAGGUCAUCAGAAAUGUGAUAAGCCAUCAGACAGGUCGUCACUUAGUUUCCAGGCUGACAUGCUGGAAUAAAAUAGGUAUAACAUUUUGCUCCAAUAUUAAAUUUUUGAAAAAUUGGUAUCAUUCCUAAGAUAAUUCAAUUAUAUAUAUUUUCUUGGGUCAUGUGCUCAAAAAUUUGUUUUACAAUGAGAGAUAUGAUAAUUUUAAAUUUACUAUAGCAAUAUCCUUUCCAAGAAUUCAAUUGGUAAGGAUUAUUUUGAUUCGUCUGAUAGCUGGGAGUUAUUUGAAGCCUUAAUAUACAUCAAACUUACUCAUAAAACUAUAAAUGAAUCAUGAUGUACUAUGACUGAGAUUGAAAAAUGGUGCUAAUAUUGAUUUGGAUUUUUUAGGUUAUUACAGUAUCUCCCCUUUGGGAACAUUUAUCCUCGAAUGAGAUUGACUGAGAGGGAAGGAUUGAUAGACUGAACACGAACUUAACAUGAAUAACUGAAACAUGAUCUCAUGAUUGACAUGACUAAUAAACUAACCAAUCAUACUAAACAUGCAUAGCUGAUGCAUGUGUAACUAAUUCGUGAAUGCAUGGUUGAGGUUUCUGAUAACUGAAGUUCUCGCAAUAAGAAUGCAUAUCUAAUGCAUGAUUAUAUAACUGAAGUGGCACAUGUAUGCAUGACUAAAUAUCCAAUUUUACUUGAUAUCAAGUGUAUGAUGUAAUCCUGAACAAGAAACUGAAUAAGUUUAAAGAAAACUGUUACCCUACACGGGAAUGCUAAUGAGCUUGAGAUCAUUUACUAAACAUACAAUAGUAGAAACUUGACAACAUAACUAAAUCUGAUACGGGACAAAUGAAAUGAACAUCAUAAACUGAACUAAGCUUCUGAAUACAUGGUUUACAGCUGAGGUUGGAAUUUUAAGGGUCAACUUAUGAGUACCCUAUACUCUGAACUGGAUUCGUUAUGCGAAGAGAAACUAAAUGAGUUAAGAUAUAAGAGAGUUAAGGGUUUAUGGGGUAUCUCCUCGGGAAACUAUGUUUCUCUAAGAACGCUCACCUUGCUGAGACACAGGGGGGAUGCACAAAGCAUCUACGAACUUGAUUAUAACUAAACCUCGGGAGUCUAAAGCUAAUGCAUGAUGCAUAAACUGAACUGAACUUGUAAUUAAUAAGAGGUUCUACCUUGGAAUAGUUACAUUCCCUGAGACUUCAAAUAGUAUAAAUAGAUGCAAGAAUGAGAAAACAAACUAUACCAAUCUGACUGCUUGAUUGCUAAACUGACUUACUGACUUUACUAGCUAACUCGUGCUGAAACAUAAGCUUAAAGAGAGAAAGAGAUCUAACAAUGCAUACCAUGAACAUGAAAGACUUGUAAUGUACCUGAAUCUAGGUCAAGGAAACUUUCUAGAUCAUGACGGGUCUUGAGUGCAUAAAGUCUAUUCUGAUGCUGACCACUCUUAGUGCCCUGCUGAUGUAAAUCUUUAUCCCUCUGUGCUAGAACUCUACACUAUCGCACCUAUGGCCUGGCUUUCCAUACCCAAAGCAUACAUCACUGCCUGCUCUACAUUCACCUAAGGUAUUCCUACCACACUCUUUGUAAAGUAGAUAGGUAAGACUCAUGUUCUCACUACCCUGGGCCUCAGAGCUUAGCGCCCCAUCAUGACGGUCACUCCUGAACUUGGGUACUGGUGCACUAUCUGAGGAAGGAGCUAGGACUAGAAACUUUUAACUAUGCUGAGAAAGGUUACCACCCUGUGACUUAGGUUGAGCAAAGCUAAAAAUACCUGUCCUUGAUCUCUUACUCUAUCUCUCCCUCAUCCUAAUAUUCUACUCCUCUAUCUGCAGAGCAUGAGUAGUAAGCCUAGCUAAAGUCAUAUCACUAUUUAACAUCACAGACCUACACUCUUUGACCACCCUAUCAUUCACCCCUGAGACAAACUUACUCAUCUAAGCUAUACUAUCUGCAACCACAUGAGGGGCAUAUCUCGCUAAUUGAGUAAACUUGAGAGAAUACUCUUUCACUAUCAUAUUGACCUUCCUAAGAUUAAUGAACUCAAGUACCUUGGCUUAUCUAAGCUCUAGGGGAAAGAAUCUACCAAGGAAAGUUAAAUCAAACUCCUCCCACUCAACUGACCCUUUAUCAUCUUCCCUCUCUGACUUCCAUUGCUUGAACCAAAUAUGAGCCACAUCGUGUAACUGAUAUGUAGCUAACUCAGCACUCUCAAUAGUAGUCACCCUCAUAAUGUUUGUCACCUUCUGAACUUGAUAUAGGAAUUCCUAUGGGUCUUCAUCUGUCUUAGACCUGAGAAAGGUUGAAGGAUUUAUUCGGGUAGAAUUGGCCACUGGGUUGGUUGGAACGACAGCUGGUCAUUCAUUAUGGGCAGCUACUGACUAAGAAGGAGUGGUGAAGGUGGUCCUAAAAUCCGCAUGAGAAACAUGAUUGCCCAGAGGUUCUUUAGGCUGAGGGGCUGACUGAUUUCUUCCCUUGGGAGGCAUAUUCUGAAAUAAAGAGAAAAAGCAUAUUAGACUGAGAGAUUGACUUGAUAUUAUGCUCACUGGCACGACAUAAAUACUGAAAGAAGGGAAACUAUUCCUAAAAUAUCUUAUAGCCUCUUGCACAAAAAUAUGGAGCUCAACACACCAAUGUACAAGAUCUACUAGAUGCAACUUUCGAACUUCCUAGGACUCUAUUGAACCUUAGGCUCUGAUACCAAGUUUGUAUUGCCCUAAUUUUCUGAACCAAAAUGCUACACAGUGCUCAUGACCCUAAAAGACCACAAGCUAAACCAUGACUGAUAUUUGUACCUGUACACUGCAUAAUAUAAAACUAUAAAUGCGGAAACAUGAACUGAAAGGCCAUAAGGUUUAAUACUGAACAUAAUCUGAAUAAUAACAAUGUAUGAAUAAUAUGGUAUAAUAAUACCAAAACAAAACUGAAAUAUUAAAAUCUAAAUCUAGUUUAUAAUCUAGUCUGAAAGCCUCUAACUAUCUGAAGUAAGGAGUGGAAAGAAUAUGUCUCCAACUAACUCCCGACUACUAAAAGCCAAACUGAAAUACUAAAGUAAUAAAGUAGUAAUCAUUUCCUCAAAAAAUGAGGACUAACUACUAACUCUAACUGCUGAAAUCUGCAAUGCUACUACUUCUCUGGAACUCAUGCCUCUAAACGAUGGUGUAAAGUAAAACACCAUAGCGCAAAUACAUCAAUACGCCUAAAUGUACUAGGUAUACGAGUGCGGUAGGCUAAAUGAAAAGGGUUUAUAUGUAUGAACAAUGCUGACUGAUAUGAACGUGAGAAUACAUACAUGCAUAAGUAACUAUAACUGAACUCAUGGUGAUACUGACUACUAAGUCUUAAUGCUAACAACAUGAGUAUACUAAUACUGAGAUACUAAAUGAUUGAGUUCACUGAUAUUUAUAUGUAAUUUACUACUAAGUGAGGAACUGAUACUGUAUUACUGAAUAGAUGAAUGACUAUUUUCGAUAGUUUGAAUUAUGAAGAACUGGUCUGAUUGAUUGUUUUUAAUUGUUCCAAAACUUAAUAUUGAUAACGUAAGUUAUGAUGACUGAUAUAACAGAUAUGACUGUGAUGAUCAGCAUAAACGAUGUAGCUGAUACUGAGUGACUGUAUUUGACAGCCUAAGUUCUGAUGGAACUAUCUGAGUUUUGUUAUGUAUGGAGUAACUAAAUCUGAGAUCAAUCCUAUCUAGCGGGUGAUCUCUGAGUAUAAUGAUAACAAGGAUGAUUUGACUUAGUCUAAGAUCAUUUCUACCUAGCGGGUGAUUUUUAAUCUGAUAAUACAGAUAGUGAUUGACCAUAGUUAAGUUCAGUCCUAUCUAGUGGGUGAUCCCAAAGUCUAUUAAUAAUGAUAGGGAUUGACUGUAUCUAGCAGUCCUAAAUCUAUAAAUAAAACUGUGGGAUGUAUUCAUCUAACCGACAUGCCCCUUUCUAGCUAGUUUGGGGUCCAACCUGUAAACCCAAUUAGAAGGGUGCCAGUACCGUACCACUGGUAAAGACAACUAUUGUGGAGGCAGUCCUAAUCUAGCGGAUGACCCCUGGGAUCAUUCCUAUACAUUUAAAUAUGCUAACGGGUGAUCCCUGAGUAUGUCAGUCCUAUCUAAUGGGUGACAUCUCAUACCUAUGCUGGUUAUGUAGUUCUGGAACUUAGGGAUUACUUCUAGGGAUCUCAUUCCUGUCUAGCAGGUUUGUCCCCAUCCCUAGGCUCGCUCGGUGCUGAAUCCUACUCCCAUUUCAAAGACACUGAACUAAUUAAUUGAGCAGAACUAAUUAACUAAACUAAACUGAUUAGCUGAAAUAAACUGAAUAGUUGAACUGAAACUAAUGGUAUGUUUAGCGAAGCUAAACCAAGUUUACUGAAUUCCAUUGACUAACAAAAUAUACUGAUGUCUGAGGACUGACUGAGAGUAAUGUGUUAAUGAGAUUUUACUUGGAAUCCUGAAAAUACUCAGAUUAUUGAACUACUAAUAUUUUCUGAGAUUUCCUGAGUCACAUAGUUGACUAAGUUCUAUGGAUCAUGGAUUGACAGAGAGUAUCGUUAAAACAUGACAUGGAUCUAGGCACACGGAUAAUGUUUUAGGUACAAGGACCCCCAAGACCUGAUAGAAGGAAACUGACAUAGCCUGACUUGCUUGAAUACAUAAUAAUCAUCAUAAUAUAAUUACUGAAGCAUUUCAUCAAACAUGUGAUAGGCAUAAGCUUGUACAUACAUGAGUAUUUCAUGAUAUCAUACUAAUUAGACACUUUUCCUUUAUCUAGGCAUUUAACCCAACACAUGGUAAGCAUAGAAUAUUUAAACAACAUCAUACGACAAUUAGUUGUCAUGAUUUAAUUCUAAUUUAGUCAUUCAAGGGUUUAGUCAUAGGAUUUCAUGAAUCUAUACCAUUACAAAUCAACCCAUAUGGAAUUUAACACUCAUUCAUGGAAUACAAUUCAAUUACUCAUUUUCAACAUGAACAAGAGCAACCCAAUCAUGAAAUUCGUUAAAAAAUCCAGAAAUUUAAUUUAGAAAAGAGAUUCUUAGGCUUCAUGGAUGAAAGGACUCCACCAAUGAACACUAUGCAUACCUGGGAUAAGAUUCUUGAUGUUCUUGAACAUGAAGAGUUGGAAUUCCCUUAGUUCUUGAAGAAGAUUGGAUUUUGUUCUUGGAGAUUAAUGACAAGGAGAAACCCUAAUCUUUUUUGAAAAUUGACGUUUCUUAAAUGUUCUUGGAUUAGGAAUCUUAAUUCUUGAAUAUCUUAUGGAGAGUGUGAUGGGAUCUUGAAGUUAAUUUAGAAGAAACCCUAAGUUUGUUGUUGGGAACAAAGAGGGUUAAGAGCUUUUGAAACUAAAUACCAAUAGCUAAAUUUGUAUUUUUGGUGUUUUAUGUCAUGGGGUAAGUUUUAGGGUGAGGGAAAAAACCAAAUACCCCUACAAACUUACUUUCUAGUUGCUGAAAUUAUCAGCUGACGACAUAGGAUGAUAAGCCUUCAGGUCUGUGAUAGUCCGUCAGCCCAGGUUGUCACCUAGGACCUGAAAUUGAUGGGUUGGUUUCUAAGCUUGACGACAUUAGCUGAUAAGUCAUCAAAAAUGUGAUAAUCCAUCAGAAAAGUCAUUAGAAAUGUGAUAACUCAUUAGACAGGUCAUCAGAAAUAUGAUAAACCAUCAGACAAGUUGUUACUCAGUUUCUAGGCUGACAAACUGGAAUAAAAUGGGUAUAACUUUUUGUUUUGAUAUUGGAUUUUGGCGAAAUUGGUAUCGUUGGAAAGAUAAUUCCAUUAAAUAUAAUUAGGUGGGUCAUGACCUCAAAUAUUCUUAGUACAACAAGAGAUAUUCUCAUUUGAAGUUGACUAUAGCAAUAUCCUUCCCAAGAAUUUAAUCGGUAAGGAAUGUUUUGAUUCGUCUAAUAGCUGGGAGUUACUUGAAGCCUUAAUAUACAUAUAACUUACUCAUAAAACUAUAAAAUAAUUAUGAUGUACUAUGCAUGAGAAUGAAAUAUGGCGCUAAUAUUGGUUUGGAUUUUUCGGGAUAUUACAUUUUCAUAGAACCCAUACACCUAUUUCUCAUUUGCGAGGUAGGGUUCAGGGGCAAAACACAUCCACCUAAUUGUAGUGCUCCUUUCAUGGAAUUAUGGGAACUUGUCUUCUACCUUGUCUAGGCUGAUACCUCUUUCAGGGAGUAGCUUUGUUCUGUGGAAGUCUAUUUUGUACUGGUAUUUGCAUUCUGUGAACAUGAAUUGGGUGUCAUCAAAGUCUCCCAUUGUUGAAUCCUAUAACCUGUAAACAGUUCAGCAUAUGCCAACAUUAGCAACAUUACAAUAAAUAUAUGCUAAAACAAAUCUAUAGGCUCAUGUGGUAUUGCUAUAGAAGGUUUUAGGGGUAGUUAAUGUGUAGCAGGACAUUUUAUGACUAUCAGAACUUACCCUCAGGUAUGGCGAUCGCGGAGCGUUGGCCGUGACCGCCGUUAUGCUAUCGUGGUCAUCAGGGCCGCGAUUGCGGUACAUAAGGCCUGAUCUUACAAUUCCUUCCUAGUAUUUAAAAUUUAAUUUUAACCAAAAUUCUGCAGUAACACUAGGCAUGACAACAAAAGCAACAAUGAAGUUGAGCCUGCUGUGCAAGUUUAUGUCCUCGAAUGUAAAUAAAUUAAAAAUAGUUUUGUAGGAGAAGAUAUACCUCAACCUGAAUGGGUUAAGGUCAGAUUUUGGGUACUUAAGACUUCCCCAGUUGUGUGCAUACCAACUUAUAACAGUUAACCACAGCACUAAACACUAACAAACAUGCAUUUCGCAAUGAAAAUACUACUUCAGGCCUUUGUUUAUACUACACGUUCGAAGUAGGAAAUAGGUAUUAAAAUAAGGGGAUUUAAACAACUUACCGAUUUAAAAAAUUUAUGGGACAAAUUGGUACUUGAAAAUGCAAUGCAAAGCCAUAAAUUUUUAGAGGAUUUCGAGUGAAUUUUGAAGGAGAUUUAAAGAAUUUUAGGGGAAUGGGUAAUUUGAAUGAGUCUUUAAACUGAAUUGACCUCGGUCGUGGUCCCAAUUAUGCAUUCACAAUCAUACGGAUUCCACGAUCGUGAUGACACAGACUGCAGUCGCGGUAACUAAGACCUAUCAACAAGGUUUUCUGUACAGUCUAAUUUUCUAAUUCCACACAUUCCUUUCCAACUUCAACAAAAAUUUCUCUUGGCACCCCAAAGUUCUAUGAAUUAUGCAUGAACACAAACAAGAAGUUAUUCUAAUUUAUAAUGCAUAAAAAAGAAAGGAUAUGUGCCACUUUUUGUCGCAUGAUGGAUUACCGCCCAUCGAGAGCUUAGUUUAAGAUUGUAGCUUGACAUUUCCACUACUUCCUUUUUUGUCUCCACUUAUAAGAUUUGAAUCACCAUCCUAACUUUAGCUCAAUAUCCAAUGAGCGGCAGAGGGACAGAAAAUUCAAAUCUUCAAAAAUAAAACUUGGAAGAGAUUGUAAAAUGGCAAGAAAGCUCCUAUCUCGGCAGAGGGACAGAAAAUUCAAAUCUUCAAAAAUAAAACUUGGAAGAGAUUGUAAAAUGGCAAGAAAGCUCCUAUCUCGCCAUUUUGAAGACUAAAACCUUUUACCCAACUUCACAUCGAUCUUUUGGAUUCUAUCCUUAGGUAAAACUAAGCACAUCAAUAAGAAAUUCCUUGUACUAUGGAAAUUAAGAAUCUUAGCUUUUGAUGGAUGGGGCUCCAUGUGCUCCAUCGGGAUGACAAACUCCAAAAUGCAAGAGUUGGAUUCCACCUCCCCACAAUCCUCUAUUUGGUAAAAAGGAUGGAUACCCAUCACAUCCUCUAUGCCCAAUGUUGAAAUGUGGGAUGAACGAGGUCUAACACCUAACUUUGGGUUAGCUUCCUCUAAAGCAUUGUCACCCCAAAAUGAGCUAGACUCAUCAUAAGAGGUUUGCUUUGCCUCUUCUUUUGACUCUAGUAUCUUUUCAUUUAUUAUGGCUUCUUCUCCCUUGUAUGGAAAUAAUGAUUGGGAAGUCGUUGAGGAAUAUCCGCUACCAAGCUCAUCAUCAUAGUUUGGUUUCUCUUCAUGAUAACACUCCUCUUGAUUAUUGGGAAAGGUAGUGAUAGUUUCAAGUUUUUCUUCUUUGCCUAAUAGCUCUUCCUUGACACCCAUCCAUUCUUUGUAAAUGUAUUCCAUAUUUGCCCUGUUGAAUCUACUUGGCCCAAAAUAGUUUGGAGCAUUGCUUCAAGAUUGGUGGAUUUGGAUUGUUGCUCUUCUUUCUUUUAUUUAUGAGACCUAUCAAACUCAUAAGAAUAGCUAGCAGCUCGAUUAGUAUAAUAGGGGGAAUGGGUGUUUGAAUACUCAUCCCCAUGUCCUUGUAGACAGCCAAACAAGGGGCAACCAUACUCCCACUCGGAUUGAGAUGGUAAAAGCUCUCCCUAAGGAACAUACUUAAAAUCUCUCCAGAAGUAUGGCCUAUAACAAUACGAACAUGGGGUGUCACAGUAUUACUUCCAAUCAUUAAAAAUAUAUUUAUUAUAAGACGCCAUUAAUAAAAGUAAAGAAUGAAAUAAAACCUACCCAUAGAUAAAAGUCACAAAAAAAUAUUUACAAGCUUGAAUUCAAGCAAGUAACUAAGAUUUCAAACUAAUUUAAUACGCCAAAUUGUUACUCGACAAUGGAGCCAUUUUUUAUAACACUCAACUUACACGUCAACUUAAGUGCAAGGCGGUCAUCAUCAAUAUAUUUAUCCAACUUUGUAGUCGGGGUCGAAUCCAAGAGGAACAAUGGAGUGGACAUCAAAUUAAUUUGAAAUGAUAGUUACAAGUUAAAUUAAAACAAAUGGUACAAAAAGGUAAAAUGGGGGAGGUGAGUUCCUACACUAAUGUUUUUUUUUGGAUUUUCUUGUAUAAAUUUGGGUCUAUGAAUAAUUAGAGUUGCAGUAAUUAUGUACGAAUCUUGAGAUUAUGCAUUACUAAGGGAGUGACAUGUGGAAGUUAGUCAUUAACAUCGAUUUAGUAAAUCAAAUAUAGGUAGGUUUGGUUAUAGAUUUUUAUGCUAGUCUUUCAACAAAACACCAAACUUUCACCAAUUUAUCCUUCCGAACACCUAAUAGGAGUUUUCAACAAUUACCAACCAUAACCUCAAUCAAAGCAUCCCUAUUUUUAGGAUGACACCCAUGGUAUAGUCAACCUCACUUUCACCCUUAUUUCUAAGAUAGUGAGAAUUUAUCAAACUACACACAUAAUUGUGUAUCAUUGCUUUGGUAUCUAUUUCCCUAUUUUGAGGAUUAUAUAUAUUCCAAAUCUUCACCUAAAACCCUUCUUUCAAAAAUAUUCUUGGGUUUUCUAGAGCUUGGAGCUUUCACCCUUCAAACCUAUGUGGGUAUUUGGAGAUUUCACCUAUAAAGUCCUAAAAAACUAGCAUAGCAAUAAUAGAACCCAUAAACAUUAACUACCAAAUAGAUGCUAACAAUAAAAACCCUGACACACUUUAAUCCCUAUUCACACAUAACCUUAAGAGGGAGAUUUAGCUACACAUAAAAUAAAUAAGCAUAGAUAUACUCAUAGUCUCCAUUAAAUAAAUUUGUGGUAGAUCUAAGUGAAUGUUGCUUCAAACUUGGAUCCUCCACAAUAUCAACAAUGGAAGUGAGAAAAUCUUCCACUUGGAAAGUCUCCAACGUAUUCUUCACCCAAAAUUUAUACAAUAUUUUCUUCUCCAGAAAUAGAGUCUACAAAACCCUAAGACAAUCUAGAGGAAUAUUGUGAAAGAAGGAAUGUGACAAAUGAAUCCUACGUCAAAUUAAGGUUUUAGUCUUUCUGUUCAAAUUAGGAUCCGCAUAUGUAAUUAUAAUUUUUCCCUUAGACUGAACAUUUCCGCCAAGAUGCGAUAGUGCAAGUCUAGCUGCGACCAUAGCUACGCGAUAGCGAUUGGCUUCUGCGGUCUUGGUUGAUUGACCAUAUUGACUGACCACGACCGCAGCCCAUAGACCGCGACUGUGGUAACUAAGGAUAGUUCACUACAGGUUUUCAGCUUCACUUUUUUUGCUCCCUUUUGAUCAUUUCAAGCUCCAAUCUACAUCUCUUUGUAUUUUUAACUCCUAUACCUACAACGCAUGGAUUUCACUGCAUUAAAUCACAAUUAUGACUCAUUUAGCCAUUUAGGAUAAGGUAAUGUGCACGAAAAAUAAGUGCGAACGAGUGGUAAAAUCACCACUCAUCAUUUAUUCAAGGCCCUACCUGAGAAAUAUGGUGUGAAACAUUGCAACACCUUAGAAUCUUCAAGAAAGUGGGUAGGUUGAGGUUUCCAAUCAUAAGAUCAAGACUAUGAAUGCCAAUAGAAUUUACUGGUCGAAAAGUAGAUAAUGAACUUUUGGCCUGCUAUGUAACUCUUAAAACCGCUAUAGGUUCCUUACCUUAUUAGCUUGUGCACGAUAAGGCAUGUCACUUUUCAAUUGAAUUUGAGCUCAAGGUACUAUGGGCAUUGAAGAAGCUGAAUUUUGAGUGGAGCGAUGCUGCACCCUUGAGGUUGGAUAAGAUGAAUGAGUUAGAUGAAUUUUGACUCCAUGCAUAUGAGAGUUUAGCCAUUUAUAAAGAGAAGAUAAAUUUGUACCAUGAUACAAAGAUUGAUAAAAAGGUAUUCUAACCUAGUGUGUGGUCUUGUUGUUUAAUUCAAGGCUUCACCUAUUUCCUAGAAACCUAUUUCCACAUGGUGAACUUGAGCUAAAGCGAGAUUGAGAUGUCCCAUUAAAGGUGAACAUGCAUUAUCUUAAGAAUUAAAUAUAAAGUAUGGAGGAGCGGAUAGUGUGUCAAAAUGUCAGGCUUUGUAAAGUCUGAGUAGCCAGGAAAAUUGAGUCGUGCUGAGAUGUUAAAUCAAGUGCUACUUGGGAGAAAACCUAAGGUUUUAGUGUUCACUUUAUUUUUAUUUUGAAGGUUAAAAGUUUGGAUAAACACAUGGAGAAUGGUAAAAAUUGCCAAAUUUCAAACAAAUCUAGGUAACUGGACCUACAACCCUACUUAUGGAGUCAUAGGCCCAAUUCACAACAUCUAAGUUGAGUUGUGGGAAUCAAAAAAAAUUUUAGGUCUCUGAAGUUCAACCUACGGACCAUAAAACCAUCCUUGUAAGUACAACCUACGAUCUCAUAGGUUGGAAUAAUAGGAAUAAAAGGAAAAAUGGGUUGCAAAACCUACAUAUGGGACCUACCUACGAGCCCAUAGGUACUACCUAAGCACCGUAAGUAAGGUCUGCCAAUGGGCUAAUAUAUUUAAAAAAAUUAGGUUGGGCUAUUUAGACUCGCUCUGGCAUGCCAACGUUAUUUAAACCCUAAAUCCAACCCUCCAACACCUUCAACCCUUCAAAUUUAGAACUCUUCAAUUCAAACUCUCCAACUUCCAUUCCUCAGUAUAAAAGGAAAACCCUACUCCUCAUCACCCUACUUGCACACAAUAUUCAAAGAGUUAGGGAUAAAAUCACGAGUUCAUCUUCCACUUCUACAUUAUUCAUUCAAGGUAAGGUUUUCUUGGAUCCAAUUAGUUUGAAAAGAAAAUUGUUCUUGAACUUUAAGCUUGAUAUUACCCUAAAAUAAACCUAAGCUUAUGCAAUUUUCAUAAUUCUUGCAAUAGUUAGAGACUAAAACUUGUGAACUCGGUGGGUGCAUAUCUUUUGAAUUAGGAAGCUUAUGAUCAUAUUAAAAGUAAGAAGUAGCUGAAUAAUGCGAAUAAUAUGUGAAUACCUGUUUAACUUAAAGUGAUGCAUGUUGUAGUGCUUAAAUUUGAUCCAAAUUUUGGAAAUUUAUCUGUGUUGAAUGGAAUUUCAAGAAAAUUUUUGCAUAUCCUCAUCCUGAACCCAAGAACCCUACUUACAAGGAUGUAAGUUAUACCUACGAGCCCGUAGGUGUCCAUGUAGGUGUCAAACUUGAAGAACUAAAGAUUCAGGGAUUUUUCUCCUACUUAUGAAGUCUACCUAUGUCUCUGUAGGUACUACCUACGACCUAUAGGUAGGGGUCAUAUAUAGCCUUUGCAAAGGAAUGCCAAUUUUUUUCUCAGUUCUUGUUCUUGAAUUGUGUUUUAAUCACUAAAAACUCCUUUUACAGGUAUAAUGGCAACUAAGGUUACUCAGAAGAAACGAGUACAGUCUAGGUUAUGAGAUGAGUCCCCUGAGCGAAUUGGAUUUGUGAAGGAGUAUUUGGUGAGUGGGGACAAUACAACUUUGGAACCAUGUUAGACUCAAGGUAUUGUACAAAGGCAAGCUAUAUCCAGGGAAUCGAUUCAGUAGGGCUCUCAGCCCUCACCACUAUAGGCAUUAUUAUUAGGGCCUCAAACUUCUCCAACUCAUUUUGUUUAGAUUGGGACCUGGAUAAAUUUAACCAUGAAUUCACUACCGUACUCUCUCCAGUCUAAUAAGGGAGAGAAUAAGUUAGGUUUUAGUUCUGCUAAAGGAGAAGAUGAGUUAGGUACUCAUUUUAGUUAGGAGGAGGAUAUAGUUGGCUCCUAGUCUGAGGAAGGGUUGAAGUCUGCAUCUGAUUAAGUUAAUAGUGAGUUAGUUGCACCCCAGUCUGAAGAGGGUGAUGAUGUAUCUUAAGGAUCUCAGGAGGUUUCUACUUUAUUUAGUGUACUACGGUUGGUGUUAUUUCAGCUUCUUCUUCUAAGUAGUCCGAGUCGACACACAUCUCCCCAGCUCUACUUGCCCAAGUUAAUAGAUUAUGUAUGGAGGGAAUAUAUAGUCUUUAUGAUAGAGAAAGCACUAUUAUUGAGUAGGGUAGAUUGCAGUGUGAUAAUAUAGAGGAGACCCAAAUUAAGAUAGCCACUUUGGUAGGUGCUCUAGACCUUUAGGCUGCAUUUUAUAUAUAUCUACAAGGGUGGAUGACCCAACCCUUAGGUUUUUACUGUUGGGAGAUUGUUUGAAAGUUUUAUGCUUUUGAUACAACAUCUCUUUAUUUUUUUACCUCUGCUGAGAGAAGAGGAGUGGACCAACCCCUACUAACUCACAUACUAGUCUAAGGGGUUAGGGUUUAUGUUUCAAAGAAGAUGAUUACAUUGUUCUUAUUUAGGUUGGAGUUUAUGGGGCCAACCACUAUUAUUGAUUUUGAUUAUUGUUUGAGGUUAGUGAGUAGUAGGCACACGAUGAGAGAUGCUGAGCACAGGGCGCAGAGAGUUAACUUGGCUAGAUAGGUAACUGAGAAAAUCAUAGAGUGUGGUAGUAAUGACCCUUAUAUUGGGGGAAAUAGAUAGAUUAAGAAAUCAUUAAUGUGUUUUGUAGUAAAGUUUUUGUAGAUGAUAGUGAGGCAUCAUUAGAGUCCGACAUCUAUGGACAAUGUCUAACUUGGGAUAGAGUAGUAAUAAUUUCCAGCCUAAUAGCUGGUUAUGAUAUUUAUUUUUCUAGGUAGAUACGAGAUGAGAUCCAUGAGAGAGCAUUAUGAGAGUUCACCAUCCUUACCUUCCCUUAUCGUAUAUAGAGAUUAUGUGAUGCAGAUUGAGUGACGCCUAUUCUAAAGGUUGAUUAGAGGAUCGAAGUCACCUAGAUAGCAGGUAUUAGAUCGAUUAAGGAUGCGGCCAACCCUAUUGCAUAAAAAAGUGCACAUCCGUAUACUUUUUCACUGUUACCCAUUUUAUGGGGCCUUCUAUAUCGCCCGAGCAUGUUGAGAGCCAACACCAGUUGGUGACUUGAAUAUGGGCAGUCAAAGAGUUGAGCCCACGACUACUGCAUGUGGUAAGGUGGUUGUAGAAACUUCAGGUCCAAGUUCGGCUUUUACUUUAUCCCCUCUCCCACGAGUUUUUAGGUUUGUUGGUAUGCCUCAAUAGUUCUUACAGCAGUUUGUUAAUCGACAGUAGGAGAUGAUCAAUCAUCAGAAACAUAUAGAGACCCAAUUGGCCAUAUUAUUUAGGCAUAUAUAACCAUGGGUCCAUAUUGUAGAGGCUUUCAAGGCUAGAGAAAAGGCUUAUAUGAUGGAUAAUAACACUCAAAUUGCACUCUUAAAUGGGUGUAAGAGAUUGUUGUCAAUAUAAUAACCCAACUUAGGUUUGUGUUUAAUCCACAAGGAGUGAAAGCAUGGAAUGAAAAAGUCAAGAGCAUUGAUAGUCUACUAAAAGAUGACCCAUAGUUUGAAUAAAACAAACAUAAAUUUAAAAUGGGGGAUUUAGUUUGAAAGUUCUUGUUAAUGACAACUACUUCAAUUUUAGUGCACUAUCUUGGUGUUGAAAAAUGCUAAGAGUGAAUUCAAUUGAGAAUAAGCCUUGGGGUUAAGCACUUCUAAGAGUGGGUUCAUGCAUGGGCACUCUGCAAUUUAUCCAACUUUUAGCUAAAAGUCAUGGGUAGGCUAGAUGUCAAUAUAUUGAUGUCAAUCUUUCAAUUACAACACCAAAUUUCACAAAUGAAUUCUUUCAAACACUCACAAGUGUGACAAUUUUCCACAUCUAUUGUUUCAAUUGACAACCUUAUGUCUAAGUGAUGUCAUUAAAUGAAAUGAAUCAAGUUAUUGGUUGAGUUUAGUCCUUACCCAUGUCCCCUCUUUCAAGAAUGACAUAGGUUCAAGGGUGCUUGGGGUUUGCAACCCCCAACUCUUAGUUAAAUUAUGAAAUAAAUGCAACGCCAAUCACAAAUAACUAAUUAGAAGAAUAAUUACCUAACACCUAUGCACUACCACAAUCUAAGAAAGCAUGACACCAAUAUUUAAAAUGAGCUACUCAUAGAUAAAAAGGUUAAAAGUAUACCAAAGUUAACAUUGACUUCAUCCAUGAGAAAUAAAUUGAAUGUAGUUCCAAGCUUGGAGUUUCAAUAAAUCUUUAAUAGAAAAUCACUAAUUCUUCUCUGGGAAUCACUCAUAAAUAUUUUAUAUUCUAGGAUGAAAAGAUAGGUGCUAAGAUGAAAACAUAGAAGCUAAGAUAAAAAAAAAUGAAGGCUAGGUCUUGAAAAAAGAGCUAGAAACCCUUCUUUAGGCCCCACUUCGACAUUUGACAAAAUUACAAAAUUACCACCUUGCUUUUGAUUUUAUUAAGUGGAUCUAAAGUGGAUAUAAAGAAGAUAAAGAAUAGAUGGGUGGUAGCUCCAAAGCAGAUGUAAAGCGGCUGACUUUUUUCCUUCACAUUUGUUCUCUUGUUGACUUGAAUGACUUGCUCAUCUUCCCUUUUUACUUUUACCUACAUAAAUGAGAAUUAAGUAAGAGAGGACCAUCAAAUUAAUAGAAAAACAUGAUAAUUUAGGCUCAAAAGGUACUAGCAAGUCGUCAAAUUGACGACUUAUCAAUGGCCGCCAUAGAGUGGUUCAUGAGAGAAUUGCAUGGGCAUAUAGAUAGUUUUAAGGCUCAAAAAUGAGCACGAAUUUGUGAGGCUUAGGAACCUAAAUUAUCAAGCCUAUGUGACGAGGUGUCCUCAUUGAGAUAAGAGAUGUGCUCUUUAGCCGAGAUCUAUAUUCUAGUUAAUCGUAGGUGGUUUUUUCUUUUGCGUGACCACUACCUAGACCUCCACCUAUGGUUUUUGAUUUUAUUCUGAGAUGAUGACUCCCCGCCUAUGGGAGACAGGAUAAGAUGAGAAUAUUAUGAGUUAGGUGACUCUAAGGAGUUUUGGUGGGCCUUGAAAAUGGUGACUAUGAAGUUUGUGUUGCAGCUCGAUACCGGUAAGGAUAGGCAUGCUUGGCUUACAUGGGGCACCUCUUCUAGUCAUGCAUCACUAUCUCCUCUUGGAAAUAAGCCACGAGAUGCCCCAUAUUGGGGCAAUCCAUAUUCUGAUGCCUAUAGAGUAUAUAUCCCUAUACCUUUAUGUUGUUUAGUUUCUCGUAUGCAUCGGGGAUAGUGUAUCAACUUUCAAUUAGGAGUAGGGGUGUACAUCAGCCAAGGGUUUUUUUGUCGUGUUUCAUAUCCCGUCGUCUAUAUUAUUAUAGUAUAACUGGCAUGUUUAGGUAUUAUAUUAUGUUAUUUUGUUUGUGUGUUGUUUAUGUUUAAUUAGAAGAAAAAUAAGGAACCUAAGUACAAUUGACAUGUUUUAUUUUGUGCUAAAGUGUUUGAGAAACAAAAUGAUACCCCUCCUAAAAAUUUUGUGAACUGUGUUAUGUAAAUAUAUGUGUGACCAUUGUGUGAAUAUUGUUAUGACAUUAGAACUAGGGAGAAUAUCAUCAAAGCUUAGCGCUACAUGAACCGAUCAAGUACUAGUUCAUAAUGUAACCCUUUGCCAUGUGUUUGUGAGGCACUUACCUAGUUCUCUUUUUGAAUUUAAUUCAGAACUUUCUCAGUUAGUCUUUCUUAGGUUAUAGUAUAGUUGGUUAGGAUGUCAUUGAAUAAGUCCACUCUUAUCCUAAAAGAUUGACCAAAUAAGAAUAAGUAUCCCUUGAUCCCUGAUUCGAGCCUAAAUUGAAGUAUUUUCUUAUUUUCACCUUUUCACCUUCCCAUUUAAUCACAAUGAAGUUGUUUUGGCCCUAGUUGCUCUUUGGACACUGUGCACCUCAACUCAGACAAAUUGCCUAAGUUGAGGGUGGAUAUCAUAGGUAUGCAUAUUUGAAAUUGAGUAUGAAGAAGGGAGUGGAAUAAAUAAAAAUAAAAUUGGGCGGGGUGUAUUAAUAACAUGUAAAAGAAGAAAAAAAGAAAAUAAAAUAAGAAAAGGUGAAAAAAUGGAAAAGAAAAAAAAAGUGAAUAAGGGAAGGGAAUGAAUAAACCACACCCAAUCCCAAUAAGAAGUAAAGGAGGCAAAGAGAGAAAUAAUAGAAACAUGGUUAAGUAGUGGAGCUAACAAGAUAAGUGUGGUGUCAAGAAGGGUGAGUGAUGUCUCCCAAAUUACACCUCACAAUGAAGUAUAAAGUGGUCGUCGAAAAAAUAUAGUACCCAAUGAGGUUGCGAUCGAUCCAACGAAGAAUAUGGUUAGGACCUAGGUUAAUGUAGUAAUUUGAACUAUUAAUUAAUUAUUUUUUAAAGUGGGGAUUAAGAAAAACAAGUCGACAGUUUGUAAAUCGAACUAAAAAGCAAACAAAUAUCAAUUUAUGUUGACAAAAUCAAUGGGAAUGAUUAACUCGAACGGUGUUCCCCUUAACUAGAAUCGUGUUCCCCCUGAAUUCUUAACUUUGCAAACUUAUCAUGCUUCUUCAAACUAUCUCACUGUCUUGUAUGCAGAAUUUAACAAGGUAUGUAUCACCAACUUUCUUUUGAACACCUUUGGUGAAUUUCAUUCAUUGGCUUUUGAGUCUCAGAGUGUCCUGCUACUAACCCUUGUCCCGGAUCCCAGAUUAACUAUUACCUUUUGAGUGUCAAGCUAAUUAGAUGAGGGUUGGUAACCUCAAAUUACUGUGGUGAUCUUCUUUUCCUAAUUUGUACCUCUCUAUUGAACUAAUAUCUAAUACUGACAGGUUCUUAAUGUCUACAAUCGAUAAGAAAGCAAUCAAACUAAAUAAAAUUACAAUACAUGCAAGAACAUCAAUCAAGAAAGACUUUGCACUUUCUCUGCUUUAUUAACCCAUCAUGGUUUCCACAAUCUUAGUUGUUGGAUUUAACUACUCAUGGCUUGAAAAUUACAAUUAGAAAUCAUAAACAAAAUCGUGAUUAUGAACUUACAAAUUGAGUAGAGUAAAUCUGAAAUCUUAAAUUCUAAAAAAAAAAAGAUGGACGAGAAAAAAAUAAACCAAUUUUCUCAAUCCUCCAUGGCAGCUCCAAGCAUUCUCUAAUAAAAAGUUAACAAGUUACUUCUCAAAAGUUGUCAAAAAUUUCAUAAAAACUAUUUUUGUGAAAUAUUUAAAGGUGUAAGAAAAACUUUAAAUUAAAAUAACUGAGUUUAAAACAGACUAGGAAAUAAAAACCCAGUCCAAAUUGGACUGGAUUGUGUCAAAUCCAGUGGCCGCCUAACUUUUUCUUUCCAGAUGCCUAACUUUUUCUAUCUCAAUCCUAACUUCACGAUGUAGAAGUUAAUUAUAAUGUUGCAUUCAAUUCAUUAAGUUGUCUGCUUUAUUUUCUUAUAUAAUUCCUCAAUUUUAAUUUUGGUUUUGCUCUAAAUUUCUUCAUCAUCACACUAAUUUUAUCAUACAAAUAAAAAUAUAGUAUUAAAAAUUAUUCAUAAAAUCAAUUCUUAGAAAGAGUAGAUAAAUAUACUAAAUAUGAGACAAAUAAUAACUUAAUAUAUAAUUAUUGCCUCACAUCAACACCCCGCACAUAGACUUUUGUUCGUCCUCAAGAAAAUAUUAAAGCUCAUCUCAACUCAUCAAAUCUCGGAACGCCACCAAUUUGGUUCAUACAAACAAUUAGACCAUAUAACAAUUCGCAACAUUAAGUACACUUUAUUAUCAUUAUCCAUCAAGUAUAAACGAACAACACACCUCGAAUCUCAUAACCUCAAAGAUAGACUCUAACUUAUCAAAUUUAAGUUUGCUUACCUAUUCUUUUCAAAGAAAGUUAAUAACAUCACAUAUCUAUCACAAAAUAAGUGCCCUCAUAAAAAAAAAAUAGUCCACACACUCAAUUCAAAAGAUUGAACAUAAUUUAAGAACUCAACAUUAACGAACAACUCUUACACUUACAAAAAUAAAUUUCACAUGUAUGCACAAAGAACCAUAAGCUUUUUCAUUAUGUACAUCUCCACUAAUUCAGUAUGCUCGAAUAGAAUCAAAUAGUACUUUAACAGGUUCUAAUAAUGGUCAGGGAACAGGUAGGAAAACUAUAUAAUAUCGACUUACACUUCCUUAAGAACUUUGCACUUUUUAAACUUCAUCACCCAUUAUUUUCUUCACUUUAAUUUUUAGCCCUCUCUUCAUCAAUUACUUUCACUAGUAUUCUCAUCAAAUCAAGAAGGUUUCAAUCAAUUUUUUCCUCAAGUAUUUUCCUUUUCUUUUCAUGUCACAUACUUUUAAAGAGGGUCUUUUCAUCACUUUGUAGCUAUCAGUGGCCAUCUUUUACACUCAAAGUCAACUUUCUUCAAAAAUUUACUGAAUUUCAACAUAUUCUUACUAUAGUUCUCAAGAAAGUCGAGUACAAAAAUUAGGGAUUCUAAAAAAAUAAAUCAAGGUAAAAAUACGGCUACCUAAAAAAAUAGACUACAUAUUCAAAGGGGCUAACUAGUGAUAUAAUAUACUAAAAAGGAUAAAAUUUACACGACACAUCAAAGAAAGCCUACUAUCAUAUUCUAAGUAAAGAAACACUUUUUAUUUCUCUUCAACAACAUGGAGGGCAAGUUCUCGACAAAUGUACAAAAGAUGGAUAUAUGCAAAAUAUUCUUCACCACACCUGGCACAAGCAUUAAUCAAGAUGGAUCAAUUCCACUUCUAAGAUAAAUAGGGUCAUAACAAACCACAAAAUUAAGAAUAAAUUAUAUACAAAGUCACAACCAUGAGCCUAAAUAUCAAAAAAGUCUAUUAAUUUUUUUAUACUCAAGCAUCCACAGAAAAGUACUACUCAAAAUUAGGUAUAACUUGCUAGUAUCAACCACAAAAAAUUUAUUCUCUCAAAAGAAAUACUCCAACAAAUAAAAAUAUAAAAGAAGAAAAGAAAUGUAUUCCAUAAAAAAAAUAAUACUAUUCAAAGGGUCCCCCUCAAAAAAGAAUAAAAAAAAUCAAAAGGGUGGGAGAAAUAUGCUCAAAAAAAUAAAAACAAAAGCUAUUUGUCUAAACAAUAAAAGUAAAAUAAUUUUGUAUUUUUUUAGUAUUUUCAUUUCUUUCAACUUAAAAUAAAUAAAUAAAAAAUAAGACCUAUAGCGUAUUUUACCCUUAACAAAUUUUGAAACAUAUCCCAUACCACACUUAAAAUCAUGCAUUGUCUCCAAAGCAACAAAUAAAAUAAAACGAGGGUUAAAGAUACUUCUUGAGACCCUCUAAAGCCUAGCUAGUAACAUGUGUCUUCAGUUUUCAUCAAGGGUUGCACGCUUUCCACACUUAAGUUCACACAUGCUAUUUAGCUUUAAAUUCGGAUAAUCAGACUUUCACUAAAUGUGCAAAAACAUACCAAAACAAAAUAAAAAAUAAAAAAUGUUAUUAUUUAAAUAAAUAAAUAAAUAAUAAGAAGUUAAACUACUAGUUGGAUUGCCUUCCAUUUUUAUUUCCACUUUGAACUUAUGAAUUGCACCCAUAAUUUUUUUUUCUAAUUUGCUACUAUGAUCAAGGGGCGGUGGUAUAAAAAUAAAUGAACCAAACAAUAGAUAUGGCAUGUUGCAAUUCUUUGCUCUUAAGUGAGGAAUGUAAUUUUUUAAUUUUGGCACAAUAAAUUCAAGAGUAUAGAAAUAGUUUUUCUUCUUUUUACAUUCUUCUAUAGGCUCAGAUAACUCGUUUAGUAUCUUAUUAUCCAAAUAUAAUGUGAAAAAAUAAUUAGAAUAAAGUCCAAUACGCCUCGACUCAUGAAUUGUAUUAUUAUUUAUGUCCUCAUAUAACUUUAGUGUACUCUUAUCAAUAGUGACAACAUCAAUAAAAUUAUGAUCAUGUAUUCGAUCCUCCAAUUUUAGCUCCUCACUUUGGCUUAUAAAAUUUUUUUCAGUCUCACACAACUCAUAACUAAAUAAUUGGGUGCUACACAUAUCAACCUUCGCAUUCAAAUUUUCUUUUAAGUUGUGAAUAUCCAAGCCAAUCCUACAGAUAUUUUGAAUGAACUCAUGUUUUUCUUUUGCGAGGAGUGUCAAUGUUUCUAUCAUGCUCUCAUUUCGCUCCCAUAAUAUAUCUAUCUCACUUUUUCAAUAAUGCAUUAUAUCAAAAGGAUAAGAAUCAAUAAAAAGGAGUUUUCAUCACUCCACACUUCCUCUUGUAAAGAUGUCAUAUCAAGAAGAGUAGCAAAAUAUAAAAAAUAAAAGGAACAAAAACUAAAAAUUUAAAAAAUUAUAGGAAAAAUAAAAUCAAUAGUCAAAUAAAUACAAUUGAUCUAACCCUAAAUCGUAUUUCGCAGCAAUGGCACCAAAUUUUGAUGGAGCCCAAAUUACACCUCACAAUAAAGUAUAAAGUGGUCAUGAACAAAUAUAGAACCCAACUAGGUCAACAUAAAUCCCACGAGGCAUAUCGUUAGGACCUAGGUCAAUCUGGUUAUUUGGACUAUUAAUUAUUAUUUUUGAAAGGGGAAGAUUACAAAGAACAAAUCAACAGUUCAUAAAUUGAACUAGCAAGUAAUCAAAUAUUAGUUUAUGUUGAGAGAAUCAAUGAGAAUGAUUAACUAGUACUGUGUUCCCCAUGACUAUAACACCCUGGGGACUUGAUCCUUAAAAAAUUUCCUUGGUUUUGGACUCACUGAACUUGGUAUGACUCAAGGGUACCAGUCGUACCCUUGAAUAUGAGUUAGGGGUUGUCUUAAGGAUUCACUCAUACUCUAGGUAGUAUGGUUGGCUUGGAUACUGCCCAAUAUAUGACUCACUAGGCUAUGAAUCAUAUCAGAGCAUACGAGUCAUGCAAUAAAAGUCGUAUGGUGCAUGAUUAUCUUGGUCUUGCGGAAUCUAUCUAUGGUACGGUUGGUGGGUAUGAUUCUGUGUGUCACUCAUACCCUUAGGUAUGAGUUAGGGACGUGUGAUUCAAUUAGAAACCAGUGGGUAGGGUCUUGUCAUGGUCUUGCGUAUGAGUUGGGGUACCAGUGGUACUCUAGGAUACGAAUGGUAUAGGUGAGUAGUACCUCUGGACGUGGCUUGUUUUAAUUUUAAGUAAAGGUAUUUCGGACAUUUCCUACUUCAAAUUCCUUAUGUCCUAAUUUUAUAUAACCCUUGGUUUCCUUCCAUAACACUUGUUAAAGGAUUAAACAUUUCAAAUACUCUCUUAAACUUACUCUUGAAGAUUGAAGGCUAGGGUUUCUUCAUAUGUUCUUCAAAUGGCUCAAAGGUCAAGAUUUCUUUCGUGAAUCUUAAUGUAUAAGGCAUGUACUCCUUCCCUCAUUGUUAGUUCCAACUAAUGUAAUAUGCAUUGUGUUUUAAACAUUUAUUUAUGGAUCAUGAAUGGUGGUUUUUGAAACAUAUGUUGAGGGUCUUGAUGCAUAUGGUUUGGUAUUAAUUUAAACUAUACUUUUACAUAUUUUUGGUAAUGGUUUGAAUAUGUGGUUAGUGUUUAGUUAUGGUUUAAAAAAUGGGUCUUGAGUAACCCUAACUAUGGUAGUUUAUGCAUUGGUUUUGGUCUUGGUAAAGGUAUGCCCUCAACAUGUUUGAUAAAAUGCCUAAAAGAAUAUUUUCACUCUAUUGUUGAACUUUCAUUGGAACUCUUGCAUAGUUUGGUUUGGUAAUGGAACCUUAAAUGAAUUUGGAUGGUUUUACAUGGUUUAAAUAAUAUAAAUUCUUUAAAUAUUUGGCAUGGUCAUAAAUGGUUUGGAAUAGUUUUAAAUGGCAUAAAUAGUGUACAUGGUUUGGAAGGAUUAAAUGGUUAACGUCAGUGGCUAUGAAACUGGUCACUCUUGUGGGCACAUGAAAUCCCCCAAGUGGUUUAAUAUAUUAAAUAGAAGGGCACUUGGAAGUCCCCUUCAACCUAUAUAUGGUUUGCUAUGGGUAGUACUUGCAAGUAUGGUCAGUAUGAUGAUACUACUACUAAAUGGCCUUGGUUAACAAAUGGUAAAUAGAUUAGUUAGUUUCUUGGUAAUGGUUUUAAUUGGGAAAUAAUGGCAAGAUAUGUAGGAAAUUUGUGAAAGAUGGAGGUCUGCGGGGACCAAAAUUGGAAACUCAUAUUUGCCGAUGUGAGAUUGGUCUUGGUGACCGUGUGUAUAAUGUCACACUAUAUUUUUGGGGAUGUACUAGUCAUCCUAGGUUUUCUUCCUUAGUCAUGCAUUUACAUGCAUUGGGCCCCCUUAAGCAGGGGAUAUACACUCAUAUAUCCCAUGGGUCAUUUAGGAUGGCAAAGCUAUACAACCCAAGUAAAGGUUUUAAAUGCAUGCUAAACCCGGUUCCCUUUUCCUGCAUGGUUAUUUAGGUGUAUGGUUGUGUUCAUUAUGGAUGGUUUUACUUGGAUUUGUAAAUGGCAUUAUUUUAUCCUUAUUACGAGUGUAUGCUAGUGUUCACCCACUAACGUAUCUUCGGGCGGCUUUAUACCUACGCUAUACAAGAACUGACCAUUUUACUUCUCCUGCUUAGUGAUCAAAUUUUGGGACAGUAAAUGUUGGAUUAAAGUGGAGAGCUUCCAUAUUUCGAAAGGAAACUAUUUCAUGUCAUGGUUUGCUUUACAUAUUUCUUAUCUUACAUAGACUAUGGUUUUGGCUAUGGUAGGGGGCAUGUCCCGACUAGGUACUCUUUGUUUAGUCUAGAGGCUUUGUAUGGACAAGUGUGGAUUUGGGUAUGUUAUGGAUUGUUUUGUUAUAUGUACAUACAUACAUUGGCUUAUUAUCAUGGUAUUAGUUUUGGCUUCCACAUUGUUUUGGUAGAUUAUUGAGUGGUUGGACUUAGUUGGGUUAGUCUCAUAUAUAGACCUAUCCCAAAGUCACUACAUGGUUGGAUAUGCUAUCUUGUUAUAUGUUCAGACUUUAGCCAACACAAGGUAUGCGUUUGGUGGUUAGGUUGGGAAAUAGGGGCGGUUCUCGGUCCUGUUUGGGCUUGGGAUCACCCAUUAUGACAAGGCCCUAAGUCGGGGCAUGUCACUGACUUUUUAACUUUGUAGACUUAUGGUGCUUCAUCAAACAUUCUCAAUGCCUUGCAUGAAUAAUAUAACAAGUUAUGCAUCACCAACCAUAUUUUGAACGUCUUUGGUGAAUUUCACUAAUCACCUUUUUAGUCUCAGAGUGUUGGGUUACUAACCCUUGUCCUGGAUCCGAGAUUAUCUAUUACCUUUUGAGUUUUAAGAUAAUUAUAUGAGGAUUGGUAGCCUCAAUUUACUAUUGUGAUCUCAUUUUCCUAAUCUCUACCUCUCUUUUGAAGUAAGUAUUGAAUAAAGAUACGUUCUUAAUGUCUGUAGUCGUUAGCAAGAAAAUCAAACUGAAGAAAAUCACAAUACAUGCAAGAACUUUAAUCAAGCAAAUCUUUGGAAUUCCUCUGUUUUGUUAAUCCAUCAUGGAUUCCACAAUCCUAGAUGUGGAAUUUAGCAACUCAUGGAUUGAAAAUCACAAUUAGAAAUCAUAGACAAAAUCAUAAUUAUGAAUUUACAAAUUGAGUAGAGUAAAUCCGGAAUAUUAAAUUCUCAAAGAAAAAUAAAUGAAUAUGGAGAAGAAAAGAAUAAAACUAUUUUGUCUGGCCUCCACGGUGACUCCAAGCUUUCUGUAGUAAAAUGUUUACAAUUUACUUCUCAAAAGUUGUCAAAAAAGUACAUAAAACUAAUUUUGUGAAAUAUUUAUAAGCAUAAGAAAAAACUAAAAAUAAAAUAACUGAGUCCAAAAUAGACUAAAAAAUAAAUACUCAGUCCAAAUUGAACUGGAUUGCAUAAACUCCAGUGGUCGCCUAACUUUUUGUUUCUAGCCGUCUAACUUUUUUUAUUUCAAUUCUAACUUCAAGUGGUAGAAAUUAAAUAUUAUAUUAAAUUUAAUCCAUUAAGCUGCAUGCUUGAUUUCCUUAUAUAAUUUUUUUAUUUUAAGUUUUUUUGCUUCAAAUUUCUUCAUUUUUACACCAAUUUAAUCCUACAAAUAAAAAUAUAAUAUUAAGCAUAAUUCAUAAAAUUAAUGCUAUAAAGGGAUAAAUAAAAUACUAAAUAUGAGACAAAUAAUGCCUAAAUAUAUAAUUUGGCAUCACAUCAGUGAGUCACUAUAUCCCAAAUGUACUAUACUUGUCCCCAAGCCUACAUUAUAAGCCGAGAAAAGUGCUAGUCCAACUAUCCAAAAAACUCAGGUAUAGAAAAUAAGGUAAAGCCUAUGGGUAUUUUGUGCAUAUUUUUGGAAAUUCUUUUGUAAGCAUGAGCAUUUAAUAUAGUUCCUACAUUGACAUGCAUUAUUAUACUGUGAGAGUUUAGACUUCUUUGUUUGUGAUGGUACAUGGGUUUUAUUGUUAACUAUUUUCUUUAAAGAUGGUGUAAAUUCCAUAUAUGCUUGGUUGUUUGUUGCAAAUGUAAUGCCAUCACUUGAUUCCUUUGUGUCAUACUAUUGUGCUGCAUGAAUCCACGCUCUGCUUUUAAAAGUUUUAAAUAGGAGAGGAUAAGAAUUUUUAAGCUAAAUUGAGUAAAUUGUCAUAGGUAUCUUAGGUUUUUGUUAGUUAAGAAUCAUGUUUUCGUUGUUAUGGGUUAGUUUUAUAAAGACAUGCAAACAUUCAAAGUUAAGGAUGUUGAUGUCCCAUGCUUUCAUGACACUUUUGAAGCUUAAAAUAAGAAAAUUAUGCAAGUACUUAGGUCUUUUUGUUAGAUAUGAUGUGUUUUUAUGUUGGUUUUGAAGAAAAAUAGGCUUUAGAGUAGACAAGGAGAAAAAAGUAAUGAAAUGUAGUAGGUAAUCUACCUACGAGCCCUACCUAUGGGCAUGCAGGUUAGGUGCGUAGGUAUGACUCCUUAAGUUAUGAAAUCUGAAGUAUAUACUUAUUCCUAUGAAGGCCAACCUAUAAGGAAUAGGUGGUACCUACGACACGUAGGUACCCCUUGUAGGUAGGGUUAUGAAGACCUGAAGACUACUCUAAUUCCCACGAAGCUAUAGAUGACUCGUAGGUAUUACGACGGCUCGUAAGUGAGGCCAUAGGUUGGUGCCAACUCUAUUUUCCUACUGUGUUUUUGAUAGGUUUUCUAGGUUUUCCGAUGUAUCUAUAAAUACCCAUUGGAUGUUUCAUUAUUAGUUUACGCACUUUAUACACUAAUUACUUUGUUUUGAGAUCUAAGAUACACUUUGAUCUUGGAAUUCUUGUUCUUGGUUUUUAGGGUUUGAUAUAAAGUGAAGGUUUUGAUUUUCAUUCUUAUUAUUCAAGAUGUCAUUCGUACGCUUUAAAUUAGGAAUUCUAUGUCUGUUCUUUCAAUCACGAGUAUCUAAACCACAAUAAUUAGAGUUGUGGGAACCCUAUUGGAUUAACAAAACAUAUGAAGUGAAAAGUCAUUCUAAAUUGGUAGUUGUGCAUGAAUUGUGGUUUUCUCUGCUUCAAUAAUUUUUUAAAGGUAGCAAACAUUAGGAACCCUCCUGUAUUCGAUACUAACUCAAGAGAGAGGUAGAGAUUGGGAAAAUAAGAUCACAAGAGUAAUUUAAAGCAACCAACCUUCAUCUAAUUAACUUGAGACCAAUAGGAGAUAGUUAAUAUGGGAUCCAGAAUAAGAAAUAGUGAUGUGACACUUUGAAUCGAGAGAUAUGAGUGAAAUUCACCCAAAAAAAGAUCGAGAGAUGGCUCGUUGAUACCUAACUUGUUAGAUUCUACAUGCAAGGAACCAAGCUUGUUUGAUAAACAUGAUAAAUCUAUGGAUUUAAGAAGUCAGUGGGAAUACAAUCCUAAUAAUUAUCCCAUACUGAUAACAACCCUACUUGCCAAGCAUUGCUACUAUAACUACUUUUCAUAUAGAUCCCUCCUUCUAUUUGCUUUCUGCACUUUCCAGAUACAUCACCAAGCUCAUGACUGAUUUUUUUCCUAAUUUUUAUGGUAUCUAUCCCAAUUUCUUUGGGUUCUAUAUUUGACAAGCUAUCGCAUUAUACUUUUUAGGAGGUAUAAUUUGGGCGACAUCAGUUUUCACUUUAAUUUUCUCGAACUUAAAGUGAUGAGAUGAUAAUUCAAUAUACUCCCCAAAAGGUUAAUCCAGUUAAGGCAUUAAUCCAUAAUUAGAGGUUAAAAACUCUUAAUUCUUGUCACUAAUUUCUUUUACCAACAUUAAUUUCUUUAUUCAAGCAAGCUAAGUUUUAGGGCAUGUUCUCAAUUUUGCAACCAGGAGAACCCAUUAAACUGAAGAGAAAAGUGAUAUAAUCACAAGCUUAAUAUAAACUAAACAAACCAUAACCUAGAAUUGAACUUCCACCAAGGAUCCAAUAACCCUAGUUAAGGAGUUUUAGCUACUCAUUAUCAAAAAGAAGAUGAAAAAGAUUAAUUUCAUAAAUUAAAGAUUAGAACAUAAAAUGAAUAAGUACUAGAACUUUGAAUGAAAAUUCAAACCAAGAAUAAUGUGUGUCAUACUCCAAACAUGUUUAACAGUGAUGCCAAUACAUUAUGUAUUUCAACACCAAGUAAAAGAUGACUAUUCAAACCCUAAGCAAGGAAUUUAUAGGCUCUAAAAAAUAGGGAUUUAAACUUCAAAUUUGGGCCACCGCAUCACGAUUGGUGGUUUGCUCGCUGGUCUGUCAUGUGGGCAACAGUUUGUCAGAUGAACCACCAUAAUUUUUAGAAUCGAUCAGCUCUAUGUUUAUCUCGAUGGCUGUAGUGAUGGUCCAUCGCUUGUCUAAAGGGCAAUCUCCCCUCUCUUCAUAAUUUUCAUAGAUUUUGAUUAGUUGGGACGUCCAGGGUGAUGGUCCACCAAAGCCUCGAUGAUCUGUCAGUUGGACCAUUACCCAGUUCCUAUUUUUUCUAUUUUUCUAUUUUUUGGUGAUUUUUGGUGCGAAAUAUUCCCCAUCACAGGCUCCUUUAUCUUAAAGUUUUGAUAUUUCUUGCCUUUGAGUUUGAUUCCUGAGAACUAGCACAAAAUACAUUCAAACACUAAUAAUCAUUGGAAAACCUGAAAUUAUCCUUCUUUGAUGAUGAAAAGUGUAUCAUCUUGAGUAGGUACAUCAAGGGUUCCCUAAAAGUACUAAAAAGACAUUCCUUCAGACGAUUGAUUCCACGAUCGUCCAAUAAAGGUACAAUUUUACCUUUCGAUCAUAGGAUCAUCACCAAAGUAUGAGGAUAUGUCACAUCAUAUGAGUGCAUACCAUGAUCGUACCUACACAGGAUGAUCGUGUGAUGUGAUUGUAUAAUGAGAACUUAUACAUUAGACACUUGUACCCUAUAAUUAUAUAACCUAUGAUAAUAAAUUAAAACCAUGAUUCUAGGUUAUGUCAUGGAAUACUCCCAAAAUAUCAUAUUUCAGCAUAAGUUUUUGACCCUCUUUGGACCUUAAUUUACCAUAAAUUUUAACAAUGUAGGGUACUCAAGACUUUCAUUUUGUUCUUAUACUCAUUCAAACUCAUAUGUUCCUACUUAUUUAUAAUUUGGACAUCAAAAUUUUUACGCCUAUCAAUGGAUAAUAAUAGAAAGUUGAUAGUUGUAGUGGAACUUAUAAAUCUUGUGAUUCUUACUCUUAAGUUAAAUUUGAAUGUGAUUGGCUUGAGAGAAGUUUGAGUAUGAAUAAUCUUAGAAUAGGUAUCGAAUCUUAGAUAUAGGGUUUAGGGUUUUAUAUUUGAGUUAGGUCAAGUUGGGCUAUGACUUCAUUAAACUGAAUGACCCAAUAAACAAAUCAAUUAUACAAUUGUGGUAAUGAUCCAUGAUCGUGAAUUUCUCUCGUACCAUGAUAUUUUAAGAAAACUUACCUAAGAACCUGCAAAGCUUAAUGAUGAUCAUGAUAUCUAACAACGAUCAUUACUUAAACUCAUAGGUUCAAUGCCCACAAUGAUGACUUGUAGGAGUUUGAUCAAAUGAUAGCUACCACAAUCGUGACAUCUAAGUAGGAUCGUGAUGACCCAUCGUAGGAUAACUACCAAUUAUGUAACCCGCAGGGCUUUUAUAUAUGUUUCUUAGACGAAUGAACCCAUGAUUGUGGGAUCUUCCCUUGUUUGUACAAUUCUCCUGUUAUUUCAUCCAAGGUCUAGUUCAGCAUCUCAUCUUUCCUGCACAAUCCCUGCACCAUUACAAAAUAUUACCCAAUAAAAUAUAAAGUACAAAACAUAGGUUACCUCCUAAGAAGUGAUUAAUUUAGAAUUGAUGAAUGACAUGGAUAAAUUGGUUGUUCAAAUAUCACUAACUAGUACAUGGGGUGUCUCUCAUGAAGCACUUAAUUUAACAUCUCAGCAUGACCUAACUCCUUUGACUACUUAGAUAUCAUCAAGGUCUAAUUUCUCACAUGACCUCAUCUCUUCUAUGGUUUCCACAUAGUGCUUCACACGCUGGCCAUUUACUUUGAAUAGGGCACCACCAUAUCCUUUUAGAUCAACUUCCCCAUAUAGAAAUACCCUCAAAAUAGUGAAUGGUCCGAACCAUUUGCACCUCAACUUGCCAGGAAACAAGCAAAGUCUUGAAUUAUGAAGCAAAACCAAGUAACCCGAGUGGAAUUCUCUUCACUCCAUUUUUUGGUCAUAGUAAAAUGUCAUAUUUUCUUUGUAUAAGAAAGAACUAUAAUAGGCAUAGAGACAAAACUCAUACAUCUCAUUCAUCUACUCAAAUCUCAAUUUCAACAUAUCACUCCAUUCCAUAUUAAGCCUUUUUAAUUCCCACAAUGCCUUAUGCUAAAGUUCAAUAUAAAGUGGCAUGUUUUUCCAUAAACAAGAUGAAAGGGAUAUGAAUCUAUAGGGGUCUUGAAUUUUGUUCGGUAGGCCCAUAAUAGGUCAUACAAUCUUCUAGACAAAUCUGUUCCAUUGGCAUUCAUAGACUUUGCAAAUAUAAACUCGAUCUCUCAAUAGAAGACCUCAACCAACCCACUAAUCUGAGGAUGGUGUGGUAUUUACACCUUGUUCUUGACACCAUAUUUAUCAAAAAUGGUUUUGAAGAGAUAGUGUUAGAAGUGGGAGCCUCCAUCACUAAUGAUAGCUUGAGAUAUACAAAAUCUAGAGAAAAUAUUUUUCUUCAGAAAGGUUGUGACGUUUUUUCCUUCAUUGUUAGAAAACCCAAUUUCUUCCACCCAUUUGGGCACAUAAUCCACAACCACACAGAUGCAAUUAUUACUAUGUGAUCUCACAAAUGGUUCCAUAAAUUCAAUACCCCAAAUAUCAAAUAACUCAAGCUCAAGGAUAGACGUCAUUGGAAGUUCAUGUCUGCACUAGAUGUUUCCUUUCCUUUGACAUUGGUCAUAAUCCCUAUCAUAAUCGUGUUCAUCUUCCUAAAUGGUAGGCCAAUAGUAACCGCAUUGAAAGAUCUUAUGCACAAUCUGCACACCUCUAUAAUGACCCUCAAUUGGUAAGGACUGACAUGUCUCUAAGAUAAUUAUUUUCUCAACCUCAUGUGAACAUCUCUGGAUCACUCCAUUUGUAAAACUUAAAAUAAGUAUGAGUUAUUCUAAAAGAACUUUCUCACCUCAUGCAUGAACCACUUUUGCUGCUGAAACGACAUAUCUUCUAGAACUAGAUCACUCACCAAAUAGUUGAAAAUCUGCAAAUAAAGGGAUUAAGUCCUGUGAUGCUGCCAAGACCUGCUCAUCUAGGAAAGUAUUAUCAAUUUCAAUCUCAUCCCCUAGUUUUAUCAUUUCCUCCUCUUUAAGGGAUAAUAAAUGGUUCACUGCCUGAUUCUCAGUCCCCCUUUGUUCCGUGAACUAACAGUUAAAUUCCUACAAAAGAAGUACUCAUCUAAUCAAUCUUAGAUUUGAAUCCUUCUUGUUUAUAAGGUAUAUAAGAGUUGCAUGGCCAGUAUACACAAUGACUUUAGUGCUAAUCAAGUAAGAUGAAAACUUCUUGAAUACAAAUACAAAAGUAAGCAACUCUUGUUCAGUCAACGUAUAAUUCUUCUGAGCAUGACUAAGUGCUUUGCUAGCAUAGUAGAUGAGAUAUAAAAUCUUUUCUCACCUUUUUCAUAGGACUGUACCUAGCUCUACACCACUACCAUUGUAUAUAACCUUAAAUAACAAAGUACAAUCCAAAGACAUAAUGAUAGGGGAUGAAAUCAACCUCUCUUUCAAAUACAUAAACACUUUUUGACAUGCCUCAUAAAAUAUAAAUUUUACAUACUUCUUCAAUAACUUGCAUAAUGGAUUCUCAAUUUUAGAAAAGUCCUUGAUGAAUCAUCUAUAGAAACCUGCAUGUCCCAAAUAUCUACGAAUGCCAUUCAUAAAAAUAGGUAGAGGUAAUUUCUUAGUCACCUCAAUAUUUAUAUUCUUGACAUAAAUAACCUUCUUAUAAAUCUUAUUACUAAGAAUUAUACCUUCUUUAACCAUGAGGUGGAACUUUUCCAAAUUCAGCACAAAGUUAUAUUCCUCACCUCUUCCCAAAAUGUUGGUGAGUUGUACCAUACGAUCAUAAAAUAAGUCACCCACAACUAAAAAUUCAUCAAUGAAAACCACAAUAGUGUCCUUGAAUAUGUCCAAAAAUAUAGACAUGAUAUAAUACUAAAAGGUGGUUGGGGUCUUUCAUAGACCAAACGACAUUCUAUCAAACCCAAACAUCCCAUAUAUACAAGUGAGAGUGGUCUUAUCUUGGCCUUAAGGGGAAAUAUAAAAUUGAUUAUUUUAAGACCCCGUAAAAUCCUAAAGCUUAAUCCAGUCCUUUAAGCUUGUAAAGGGGUCCCAGACUUAGAAAAUUCUAGCUAGGUUCCUAGACUUAGCCUAUUAUUGGCCUUCAAAAGUUGGCAAUCUCAUUUUGCCACCUUAACAUCAUCCAAUGGUCCGUAUUUUUAUUAGUUCAUGAUCAGGAAGGUCAAGAGGUGUUCUUCGAUGAGUUUUAGAUUUUUCAGAAUACGUUUAGAUCAUGUUUGGAGUCCCAAAAUAGUGGACCAAUGCGAUCAUGGUGCUCCACAUCACCAAUUGCAUUGGUCAACAUUUGUGCAGGAUGCUAGAUCUAAAACUUCAAAGGCUCGACACGAUCAUGGUGUGAUGUAUCAAGUAUAGCGUCACAGCCAUUAACGUGUCGUGUCGCUUGUAUCAUCAGUACCCAAUUUUUAGUCAUUAAAUGUCUAUAUUUUUAAGGAAAAAAAAGUCAGUUUCCCAUCCUUAGAUAAAUCCAAUAACACAUGAUUUAGCCAUAUUUCACCCAAAAUGUAGAGUUUCUCUCAAGAACAAGUUAGGUUUUUCAAUUAAGGAUUCAAAUUCAAUACUCAAAUUCAAGAAUCUCUUUGUCAAUCUUUGUAAAAUCAGGAACUAAGGUAUGUUAAGUGUUGAUUUAUCAAUUCCUUUCAUUCAUGAAGUCCAAGAACCCUCUUUCAAAUUAUAAUUUAUGAUAUUUAUGUUGUGGGUUGUUUGUAACCAUGUUUAUCUUGUUGUAAGAUUCCUAAGUUGGAAUCUUUAUGAGUUUUCAUUAAACUACGUUAACAUGCAAGUUGAAAUCCAUGAAUUGAGUUGUUUAUGAUGUGUAAUUUAAUGAUUUCAGCUAUGCCCUAAGUUGUGCAUGUAGGGUAUUUGACAAAAUGUCUAGGAGGAUAGAAAUUGGAUAUUAUAGCUCAAUUGUGACUCAAAUAAUAAAUGCAUGCUUUACCAUUAUGACCAAGACUGACUUCCAUGAUAUUGUGUGCAUUAUGAGUAUUUAAUGGAAUCUUUAUGAGAUUAGGUUGACGAAAGUAUGACAUGUCUAUAUACAAUUCCAUCCAUGUACAACAUUAUGACAAUCAUGUGUUUUAUAAAAUCCCCAACUUAUUGUAUUGUGAAUUGUUGAUUUUGGUUAUGUGUUCACAAAGGGUAAAGUCUUGUUAGUUUCAUCCUAUCGAGUCCUGGGGGUACUUGUACCUAACAAUUUAGCUGUGUGCCUAGAGCCAGUGUUGGUUUUCAUGAUACUCCCAUUCAAGCCAUGAUCAUUAGAAUUAAGUCAGUCAUACGACUCAGGAAAACUCUAUAAUCUCAAUCAGUUAUUCGAUCUCAGUAGUAUUUCAUCAGUUAAUGGAAUUUAUUAAACUCUGUUCAAAUAAGCUAAAAGAUACUAUCAGUAACAGUUCAGUUCAGUGUCUCUUUAGUUGGGAGUGGGAUUCAGCACCGAGUGAACCCAAGGAUGGGGACUCACCUAUUAGCUAGUAGAGGGGGAGAUCCUUCGAAGCAAUCCUUACAUUGCAGAACUAUGUAGCCAGUGUAGGUUGAGAUGUACCCUAUGAGUUUAGGGAUUAGACACCUUAUUUUUCUUUUUCGUACUUAAAGGGGUUGAUGGAAGAGCUCCUUCUCAGAGAGGGUUUACUCACAGCUUUUCUUUACCCGUGGCACAGUACUGACUUCUUUCCAGCUGGGGUUAUAGGUUGGACCCCACCAGUUCAAUUUUGGGGCAUGUCAGUUAGAUGAUUACCUCCCACAGUCUCAGUUUUGGAUCCAGGCUCAGUAAUAUAAUUCAGUUCAAUUCUACAGUUACAGGACUGUCAGAUACAGUCGCUCAACUCAGUACAAAACUUAGCUAGUUCCAUUAGAAUUAGGACUAUUAGACACAGUCACCUAGUUAAUAGUAUAUUAAUUACACAAAAUUCAUCUUACCGGUAUUCAAAUUUUAGGAAGGACUGUCAGAUAUAGUCAAUCAUACCAGUUCUUCAUAAUCAGAGCUGUUAGAAAUAGUCAUUCCUUUAUCAGUAAUAUGAAAUUAGUUCCUCAGUACUCAAUAGACUUAGUCUUUCAGUAUCCCAGUAUUAGUACCCAGAUAUUAAUAAAUCCACGUUAUCAGAAUUCAUGAGUCAGUAUUAUUACGAUCUUAGAUACAGUUACGUAUUCAUACAUAUAUUCUCACGUUUAUGUUAUUUAGUCAGUUAGUGUUGUUUAUGAAUAUCAACCAUUGUAUUUAGACUACCUCACUUAUAUACCAGUACAUUCAAUAGAACUUACGUAUUUGCACUAUGGUGUUUUAUAAUAUAGGUUCAGAAGCAUGCGCUCUAGAGUAUCAGUAGCAUUCUAGUAGCAGCAGUCAGAGUCAGUAGUGAGUCCUCAUUAUUUUAGGAUGUUAUUAUUUAAUUAUUUUAUUAUUUUAGUACUUAGUUUAUUUUAGCAGAUGGGGUUAGUUGGGGGAUUGUCCCAUCAUCUCUUUAUUCAGAUAGUUCAGUUUUAGAGGCUUUCAGACUACAACAUGUUUAGAUAGUUAUUUCAGUUGUAUUGGUAUUAUUAUACCAUAUUUUCAGUUAUGUAUUAGUAUUGAACCUUAUGGCAUUUUUUGUCAUGUUUCUGCAGUUAUGAUAUUACUAUUAUUAUUCAAGGCUCAGUUAUAGAUACCAGUCAUGGGUUAGCUUGUGGUCCUUCGAGAUUAUGAGUAUCGUGUAGCAUUUUGGGUACCAGAUUUAGGGCAUUACAAAAUUGGUAUCAAACCCUAAGGAUCAAUAACAUCCUAAGUAGUCUGAAAAGCUGCAUCUUGUAGAGUCUUAUACAUGGGUGUGUUGUACACCACACCUAAGUGCAGGAGGUUAUGAGAUGUUUUAGGAACAAUUUUCCUGCUUUUAGUAUUCAUGUUAUGUAAGUUAGGAUGAGCUCCAGUCAAACUCUCAGUUUAGUCCCUUCUUUUGUUUCGUUUACAAAACAUGCCUCUCAAAAGGGCUAAUAAAAGAGGAACAGGGAAUCAGUUAGCACCUUAGCCCAUCCAGGCAGAUCCUCUAGAUGAGCACAUCUCUCAUGCAGAAUUAAGAAAUGCAUUCACUACUCUAGCCAAUUAAGUCAUAGCUUAGAAUGACCGACUAGAUGUUGUUCCGAUGAACCUAGUGGCCAAUUCUACUGCAGCUAGGAUUCGAGAAUUCACCCAAAUGAAUCCUCCCCUAUUCUUCAAUUCUAUGUCUAAAGAGGAUCCACAGGAGUUCCUCAAUAAGGUUCAGAAAGUCACAGAUAUCAUCGGAGUGACUUCCAGUAAGAGUGUAGAGUUAGCCAUCUAUCAACUACAAGAUGUAGCCCAUAUGUGUUUAAGCAGUAGAAGGUAGACAGGGGUACAGAUGCAGAGCCCAUAGAAUAGGAAGAGUUUGCGACGGAUUUCUUUGGUAGAUUCUUUGCCCUAGAGCAGAAAGAAGCCAAAGUUUUAGAAUUCAUCAACCUCAGACAAGGUAGAAUGAGCAUAAAAUAAUACUCUCUCAAGUUCACUCAGUUAGCCAGAUACGCUCCUUAUGUAGUAGCAGAUAAUAGAUUUAAAAUAAAUAAGUGUGUUUUUAGGAUAUCAGGUAGAGUGGUUAAGGAGUGUAGUACUGCGAUGUUGAUUAAGGAGAUGGACAUAUCUAGGCUUAUGAUCCAUGCUCAACAGAAAUUAGGUAUUAUAGCUCAAUUGUGACUCAAAUAAUAACUGCAUGCUUUACCCUUAUGACCAAGACUGACUUCCAAGUGCAUUAUGAGCAUUUGAUGGAAUGUUUAUGAGAUUAGGUUGAUGAAAGUAUGACAUAUCUAUAUGCAACUCAAUCCAUGAACAUUAUGACAACCAUGUGUUUCAUGAAAUCCCCAAAUUAUUGUAUUAAGAAUUUUUUAUAUUGGCUUUGUGUUCACGAAGUGUCAUGUCUUGUCUGUUUCAUACUAUCGAGUCCUGGGGGUACUUGUACUUGAAAAUUUAGCUAUGUGCCUAGAUCCAGUGUCAGUUUUCAAGAUACUCCCAUUCAAGCCAUGAUCAUUAGAAUUUAGUCAGUAACAGACUCAUGAAAACUCAGUAAUCUCAGUCAGUUAUCCGAUCUCAGUAGUAUUCCAUCAACUAACAAAAUUUAGUGAACUCUAUUCAAAUCAAAUAAAAGAUACUAUCAGUAAUAGUUUAGUUCAGUUUAAAUCAGUUGAGUGCUCUUUAUUUGGGAGUAGGAUUCAGCACUGAGCGAACCCAAGGAUGGGCUCACACCUAUUAGCCAGUAGAGGGGGUUAUCCUUAGAAGCAAUCGUUGCAUUCUAAAACUAUGUAGCCAGCGUAGGUGGAGAUGUACUCUACGAUUUUUGGGAUUAGACACCUUAUUUGAGUUUUUCCUACUAGAAUGGGUUGACGGACGAGCUCCCUGUCAGAGAGGGUUUACUCACAUCUUAUCUUUACCCAUGGCACGGUACUGACACCCUUCCAACUGGGGUUAUAGGUUGGACCCCACCAGUUCAGUUUUGAUGCAUGUCGGAUAGAUGAUUACCUCUCAUAGUCUCAGUUUUGGUUCCAGUCUCAAUAAUAGAACUCAGUUCAAUUCUACAGUUUCAGAACUGUUAGAUAUAGUCACUUAGCUCAGUACGAAACUCAUCUAGUUCUAUCAAAAUUAGGAUUGUAAGACAUAGUCAUCCAAUUAAUAGUAUAUUAAUUAUACAAAAUUCAUGUUACCAGUAUUCAAAUUUCAGGACUGUCUGAUACAGUCAAUUAGACCAAUUCUUCAUAAUCAAAACUGUCAGAAAAGUCAUUCCUUUAUCACUAAUAUGACAUCAGUUCCUUUGUACUCAAUAGACUUAGGCUUUCAGUAUCCCAGUAUUAGUACCCAGAUAUCAGUAAAUCCAUGUUAUCAGAACUCAUGAGUCACUAUUAUCACGAUCUCAGACAUAGUUAAGUAUUCAUGCAUGUAUUCUAGCGUUCAUAUUAUUCAGUCAGUUAGUAUUGUUCAAGUAUAUGAACCGUUGUAUUCAGCUUACCUCAAUUGCAUACCAGUACAUUCAAUUGUACUGACACAUUUGUGCUAUGGUGUUUUAUACCAUAGGUUCAGAAGCAUGCGCUCCAGAGUAUCAGUAGCAUUCCAGUUUUAGCAGUCAGAGUUAGCAGUGGCUCCUCAUUAUUCGACGAUGUUACUAUUUAAUUAUUUCAUUAUUUUAGUACUUAGUUUAUUUUAGCAGAUGGGGUUUGUUGGGGGAUUAUCCCAUCAACUCUUUAUUCAAACAGUUCAAUUUUAGAGGCUUUCAGACUACAACAUGUUCAGACAGUUAUUUCAGUUGUUUUUGUAUUGUUAUACCACAUUUUAGUUAUGUAUCAGUAUUGAACCUUAUGGCCUUUUAGUUCACAUUUCCGCAUUUAUGAUAUUACCAUUAUUAUUUAGGGCUCAGUUAUAGAUAUCAGUCAUGGGUUAGCUUAUGGUCCUUUUGGAUUAUGAGCACCGUGUAUCAUUUCAGAUAACAGAUUCGGGGAGUUACAAAAUUACCCUAAAUAACCAUCUAGAAAACCAUAUCAUUCUCCACCAACAAGAUGCUCUAACAUAUGUUCUAUUAAAGGCAUAAGAAAGUGAUCCUUCUCGGUCCAUGAAUGUAGUUUCCUAUAGUCCAUGCAAACCCACCAUUCAAUGAUUGGCCGCAUAGAAAUUAGCUCAUUCCUCUCAUUGGGGAACAUAGUGAUUCCACCUUUCUUUAGCAGACAUUAAAAUGGGCUCACCCAUUUUCUAUCAGCAAUCAGAUAAAACACAUUGUAUCCAAUAACUUAAUGAUCUCUUUCUUCAUAGCCUCUUUCAUCGUGGAUUCAAUCUCCGUUCGUUCUCAUUGUAGGUAUACAAUCUGGAUCUAGUUGGAUUUUAUGAGCAGAAAUCCUAAAUGGAAUGCCAAUAAUGUUAGUAAUGGACCAUCCAUCGGUCCUUUUGAACCUCUGCAAAAUAAACAUUGAGGUGUCAAUCUACCACUCUAAUAAAUAAGCUUCAAUGAUAAACUAGUAUGGUAUUGAUGUCCCCAAUAAAUACAUAACCGAGAUGAGAGAAAAGGCCUUGAGAUCUAAAACAAAGGCUUCUCAAUAGACGGUUUGGCUGGUGGGGUUACUCUAUUCUUCAGAUAUGGAUCUAGCUUCUUUGUUGUAUAUGUGUAUGAACCUCUACCAAUAAGUGCACUCACCAUCUCAUCAUACUAGUCAAUACCAUCAUUGUCAAAAUUUAUUAUAACUGCUACAAGUGCCUCAACACCGAGUCUUUCUUUAAUAGGAACUACUAACUCAUCCUUAUCUAUGGUAUCUAUCAUAGAGAUCAUAAGCAUAUCAUGUGGCUGCUUCAUAGAUAAGCUUACAUUAAAAGUAACUUUCUAAUUAUUCAACCAAAACUUCAUCUUACCAAUAUCUAUAUCAACCAAUGCUCAUCCAUUAAAAGGUCUUCCCAAUAUAAUGGGAACCACAAAGUCAACCUCACAAUCAAUAAUUACAAAGUCAGCCAGAAAUAUGAAAGAUGCCACUUUCACCAAGAUGUCACAUAAGAUUCCCAUUAGUUUUUCACAGUGUGAUCUGUCAUUAAAAGUCUCAUAGAGAUUAGUUUGGGUGACCUCAACCUCAACUACUUGUAAACUAUUAGCAGCAUCAAGUUAAUACUAGCACCCAAGUCACAUAAGUCCCUUGCAAAAUUCUAAGACCCAAUAGUAGAAGGAAUUAUAAAGUCUCUCAAAUCAUCUUUCUUCUAGAGAGAGAAAAGAAAUUGAACUACAAAUGGUGUACGUUAUCCACAGGCUCAAAAUUCACUGUCCUCUUAUUUGUCACUAAAUCCAUCAUAAAUUUCACAUAACUUAGUUUUUGCUCUUGCGCCUCUAUAAGAGAGAUAUUUAUCAAAUACUCUUUCAGCAUUAAAAUAAACUUUUGACAUUUUCCCUAUUUGACCUUAUUUUUAAAUCUUUGAAGAUAAAGAGGAGUAUGUCAUGGAAAAGGCUUCAAUACUAGGGUGACCUCCUUAAUCUUUUCUUUAUCAGACUUAGGCCCUUUUUUAACAACUAUAGCUUGUUGAGAUGCAUCCUCAUUCACCACCAAUUUUUUGGAUUUAUUCUCAUCUAUAUCAUGAAUUUUCAUAAGGGUUAUCCUUUAAUCAUAAAUCAUAGAAAUAUAUGGAUUAGUAGUAUCCUUACCUCUCCAAGUAGUGAUGACUAGGCAAUGGCUAUCAUUCUUAGGAUUCUGGAUGGUAUUUCUCGAGAGUGUUCCAAUUAAUAUUGGCUCAGUGUGGUGGACAUUUUCCCAAAUAAUUUCUCAAACUGCUUAAUGACAGUCGCAGGAGACUCAACUUUUUAGAUCAUACAAAAAAUUUCUACACUUAUAUCUUUAAAGAAGUUUGCUUGACUCUCUGUCUCCUUAACAAGUUUUUCCAGGAAGGCUUCUAUCCUCGAAUUUCUAUACUUAGCUUUCCUGUAAAACAUUAAGGACACUCUUAUCUUUAUAAUUGUCUUUCUACUUUCAAUCACCAUCUAUAUCCCUACUCAUGACUCUAUACCCAAACCUAUUGUAGUAGUCCUUAACUUAUUCCAUGUAGUAAUAGAUCCAUAAGGAAACUCAUCUAACCAAAGAGUAGCUUCUCCUUUAAGAGGGAAUGGAAAUAACCUCAGACGAAUAGCAUCCUGGCUCACUCCAAGUAGAUUAUAUAAAGUGCAGAUCUCCAUAAAGUUAAUGAUAUACAUUUUUUGCAUCAUUAGUAGGAAGGGAAACAAAUACCUAUUUCAAAUUCCACAGCUGGAUCAUUACCUUGAGGCAAUUCUAGUGGAAUGAUAGCACCUGUUUCAAUCAACCCUAUAUAUCCCAAACUUCUUCUACAUUGUCAUAAAUAGGAAGAUAUUGUUUGAUGGGUGGUUUUCUCUCACAUCAAGUGCAUAUAGAUGAUCUACAUCUUCUUGUCUAUCCCUAUCUUCCCUUAUUGCUCGUCGGUAGCUUCGUCCCAAACCAUUAAUAAUGUAGUAACUUGUUUUGCCAUUUUCUGAACAUCAUGUUGGUGUAGUGGCUGAUUCAAAGUUUUUGGGUCAUCAUGAACCCCUUGGGCAGGGCUCCUUAAUCAUGAAUAUCUCUCUCCAUCUUUUAAAUUUGUAUUAGAGUUAUCUCGAGUACACGAUCAAAUAGAAUCAGGGGAUUUCCUUGACUCCGAGUAUUGGGCAUACAACGAUAUAUGUCCUAUAAAUAGUAUAAAAGUAAAAUCAGCAAACAAAACCAGUAACCCAACAAAUAAAAGCAAUCAACUCCACAAUUGUAUUCCCUGGCAAUGAUGCCAAAAUUUGAUAUCUCCCAAAUUACACCUCCCAAAAAGUAAAAAAAAAAAACAGUCACUGAAUUAUAUAAUAAAACACAACAAAAUUGGGGUUGAACCCACAAGGAAUUGGAAAAAAUUCGAUUAUGUAUUUUUCUAGUUACUUGUGAAAGAAAAAGACAAUUAUAAAAAUUAUUAGUUAUUGGAGAUGUAGUCAAUAUGAUAAAGAACUAGGAUUGUGUUGGGUUUCUUGUGCUUGCAAACUAUUCUGAUGCAUUGUAUGCAAAAUAUAAUAAAAUAGUUUCUUUUAAAUAGAUUUCGUCCUUGGUUAGAUGAACUUCACUCUUUUCCUCUUGGACUCCAAGUGUUUCAAUACUAACCCCUAUUCUUGACCUCAAAUUAACUAUUUUUGUUAUGGCUCAAGUUAUUAGAUGAAGGUUUAUAGCUUUAAAUUUCUUUUGGUAUUUAAUUUUCCUCAUCUUUGUCUCUCUCUCUCGAGCAAGUUUAGAAUACAUCAAGUUCCAAACAUUUGCAACCAUUAGAAAAAUAAUCAUUAUAAUGUAAAUACCAAUGCAUGCAGGCACACCAAUUUACAAUUGCAUCGCACAUAACCUAUCUCAUUAAUUCAUCAUGGUUAGCACAGCCCUAGAUAUGGUGUUUAGCCAUGCAUAAUUUCAAGAACAUAAGAAAAAUUCAUAUAAAAAAACAUUAUUAUGAACUCAUAAUAAGAAUAGAACUCCAAAUCUCAAUAUCAAUUAAAACCUUAGAAAUGAUGUUAGUAAUAUUCCGUGAAUAUGCCUUAGAAUCUCAAAAUGUAAUGUUGAAAAAUAUAAAGUAGUGUAAACUCACACAAUAAACCCCAAAGGAGUAUUUAUAGAAUCGAUGAGUAUAAUAAAUAUCACGAUAUCAUCAUCAUAACCACCACCUUUACAACCAUCAUCAUCAUAAUAAUUCUCAGGACUUGUUGGGUAUAUAUAUGUAUAUAUGAUAACCAUAGGGAUAGCCAAACUUGAAUCGGUAUAUAUACACAUAGGCAUAUCAAUAUAAGCAUUCUCUAGACUUGUUGGGUAUCAAUUCAUCAUCACAACAAUCUUUCGUCCUUGCCGGGUAUCAAUGAUUCAUCAAAAUAUCCUCUGACCUUGUCAGGUAUCAUCACAUCAUCAUAUAUCCUCCGACAUUUUUGGGUAUAAUUACAUUAUCAUAAUAUCCUCCGACCUUGUCGGGUAUCAUCAUAAUAUCCUACGGACUUGCCAGGUAUCAUCACAUUAUCAUAAUAUCCAAACUAAUAUAAAUAGUAGAGAGCAUGUCCCACGAGGGAUAAAGUAAAUAGCAAGCCCCACAAGGGCUAGAGUAAAUAAUGAUGAAAAGAGAAGCAAGCUAGAGUAUAUUUCCAUAAUUCAUCAUUCAUCAUCAUCAGUAUCACAUUAUCAAUACAUAUAUAUAUAUACACAUAACAGAAAUAUUCUAACUAUCAUUGGGUUUUAACCAAAAUUUAUAUCAUCAAUACAAUAUUUUCCUCCGUCCCAUACCAGAGAGAUAUGUAUUUAGAUAUAUAGUAAGAGCACCGACUUAAGUUAUGGCUAAAAGGGUGUAAAUCUAUAAGUUUGUUGCCUAGAGUGAACUUUGGGACUAAAUAAUUAUAAAAAUGUAGAAAGGGUUGGAAUCUCUCACAACCAGAGUAGUUAGUAGUAACAAAUCAUAGACUGAGAUUUUCCUACAUCACAUAUUUUAAAACAUCAUUAUUAAUUGCUUUUACAUAUUAGCUAUUCAUAAAGACAAACAUUUAUUAUUAUGAAGAAAUUCUUUUUAAGGUAGAAAGUGGGCUUCAACCCUUAAUUAAUGACAACAACAAUAAUAUGAUAAUCUAAUCUAAAUUGUGUCAAUCAUCGAUGCAACGAUCAUGAAUUUAUCAAAUCUAUGCAUUCCAUCACUAGUAUUCAAACAAUAAAACCAUAACAAUUAAUAAAUCAAUAAACUACAAUCUCAUCAUUUACAAGUACAAACACUUCCGAGAUAUCUAACCAAUAUCAUAACACGGCCCUUGGCCCAAUAAUUUGUCUAGAAUAAUCACAACAUCAUAAUCACGGCCUUAGGACCAUAUACAUAUACAUAAAUCAUAUCAAUAAAUAUAUUAGUAAGUCAUCUCGUAUCCAUAAUCCAUAACACAACUAUAAGGCAUAAUAUAUCUUAUAAGCCAUAAGCAUAUUCGUGAUCAUCUUACACUAGGAGGCACAAUAUAAAAUAAGCAUCUUAUACCUAGGAGGCAUAAUAUAUCAAAAAGCAUCUCACAACUAGGUGGCAUACUAUAUCAAGAAGCAUCUCACAUCUAGGAGGCAUACUAUAUCAAGAAGCAUCUCACAUCCAGGAGGCAUACUAUAUCAAGAAGCAUCUCAUAUCUAGGAGUCAUACUAUAUAAAAAAGCAUCUCAUAUCUAGGAGGAAUACUAUAUCAAGAAGCAUAUCACAUCUAGGAGUCAUACUAUCAAUAAGUAUAUCACAUCUCGGAGGCUUACUAUCAAUAAAAAUCUCACAUUUAGGAGGCAUAUUGAAUAUCUAAGUUGUUAAAAUGUGAGGGGGUUGCACCACACUAUGAGAGACCAGGUCACUUAGAGUCAGACAUAGGCAAUAAAAUAGGAAAGCACUAAAAUUCUAAAACCUUGUAUGAAAGUAAAGAACACAAUGAUUUAACGUGGAAACCUCAUUGCUUAAGAGAGGAAAAACUACAGUUUGCCGUCAUAAAUGCUUAACAAUCCACUAAAAUCAAACUCUUGAUUACAGUAUCGAUUUAAACCUAACUCUUAGCUUAACUAGUUUGUAAAAAUUGUAUUACAAACUCUCCUUGACAACUUUGUAAAGAUCUUACCUCAAUAUUGAUUAACUCAAACAAAUAUCAAACUCAGGUAGCUCUACCUAAGCCUUCUUAGAACACAAGAAAAGCAUUACUCUAAUAACACGACCAAUUCAAUUAUAGACCAUGGCUUGACUGAAGAAGACUCACUCUUUAAGUACAUAUAGAAAUUAAGAACUUAAUCAAUGGUGCAAAGUUGAGGUUUUGCCUAUUUCUCACUUUUGUAAUUUGAUUUUGCAAAAACUCACCAAUUUAGAAGCAUUCUUUUAUAUUUAUAGUGGAAUAAUGAUUAGGGAAGAAAUUUGAUUGGGAUAGGUUCCCGGACUGGUACAUAUAUCACCUACGUAGUUUGUUACAGUAGGCUAAAAAAUAGUAUAGGCCAUGUCACAGCUGUACCUUUCUAUGAAUUAUAAGGGACCUAAUGCCUUGUUGUCAACUGAUCAUUAUAAAAAUAAGAUAUAGAAAUUUUCCCCCUUUUUGAUAAUGACAAAUCACAAAACUUUGACCAUCAAAUUCAUUCAUCUUACUCAGUCAAAGUGACUAACACUAUGGUCAGGGAAAUUUCCCCAAUCACUAUGCACCUCGCUUCGCCCUGUCAAUAUAUCAUGCAACUUAGGGACCUGGUCAUUUGUCGUCAAUUGACCUCAAAAAUCAUUCACUAUGUUUCUAUGUUCCCCCUGUCAUUAAUGUUCAUUUAGAUCAUUGUUCCACCUAUCACAUCAUAGUUCUACCAAUCACAUGCACCAUAUUCCCCCUAUUAGUAAGCCACCAUACUUUACCAGCAUUCAAUACAUAUGCACCUGGAACCAGGUCACUAUCACAUGAAUUCAGUAUUCCCCCUUUUGGCAACAUUAAAAAGUGGUAAUAGCAAACUAAGAGAAAAAUAAGCACAAGUUAGUUAACUCAAAGCCACCGGGGCAACACUAUCAGAAAGAACAACUUUAUAAAUAAAUAUGAGACACAUAAAACAUACAAACAUAAAAGAUUUAUUCAUUUUCAAGUUAGAUCAGUAACAUUACAAGCAUACCAAACUAAACAUAAAAUUUCUACUUCAACAAAAUCCACUUCAGAAACAAGAACUGAAAAUUGACAUAGGAAUAACAAACUGACUCAAAGAUGAUAGGACUUAGGUAAAGAGGGAAUUAGGGGAGAAGGACUUCAUUAAAAACUCCAUUAUAGAACUCCCUACAGCAUGAGCAUUGAAAAAUUUCUUAGUAAGGUUUUUAACUUCGUCAUUCAAACCUUGAACCUCCUAAGUGAGUUCUGUAACCUUGAUGUGGAGUUUAUAUUUUUUGCUGGAAGUUCCUCUGUGGCACUAGGUCUCUUUGAGGAUAACUUCUAAUUUUGCAUCUUCAAGUACACUAUCUCAGCAUCCUUAGAAGCCAACUUAAUCCCCAUAUCCUUUAUUUCCUUGCUUAGAUUCUACUAAGCAACCAAUAGCUAUAACACUUGGGACACAAUUCCUACUUUUUCUUCUGUGCAUUAAUUUUCCACCAAUAAUGUUUGACUAAACCUUUAUUUGACUGUUCCAGGUGUUUCUUUAGUCCCAAUUACUCUAAAGUGAUCAACUACCUUAUUUAAGAAGUACCCAUACAAUAUCCCAUGACUUUUUUCCUUCUCAAUGAUAAAUUUAUUCUUGUACUUGAUCUUAGAAGCAGGCCGACUUAUCAGCUCAAAUUUUCUCAAACUCUCUAUCAGAAAUAGAUCAAUAGCAGAUGCAAUGGUCCUUUUCUCUGACCUGGUCUAAAGAACCUUUAUCACAAAUUCAAACAGUAAAACUCACUUGUGAGAAAUUUCUUUCUCAUAUAAGCUAUUGAUGUUCCUUCUACCUUAGAAGAAAUAAUCAUGAACUCAGUUUUGGCUUGUUUCUUUACAACAGUCCUCACCCCUAUAACUAGCACAUCCAAGAUUUUCCUUAGUGACUCUUCAUCCAGUCUGAUUUGUUUUCCUUGCACUUGGGUAUUCAAGCUUAACUUAUUAUCUGAGAAAUCCAUUAUAUAAUAGAAUUCUCUUACUCUCUCUUCAAAAACCAUGGGAGCUGACUCCUCGAAGAGGUAUAGACAUCCUACGAUCAAAUAUUCUACUAGACAAUACUUUUUGGGUUUCCAAGAUCACAUUUCUUGCUUCUCUAGAUGCUAACUUCUUUUUUUUCUCCUUUUUUUCUUCUUUUGGAAUCACUACUUGGUUCCACUUCAACAACUUUUCUCUUCUUGGGACUAGGUCCUUUAGAUAUUUUUUUCUUUUUUCACGUCAAUUUAUUUACUCUUUAUUCCUAUAGGGAUACCAAACUUUAUACGGGAGGACUAAUUCUUCCUAAGACAUAAACUUCUUGUUUUUUUUUCACAGUUGCAAUAACAACAUCAAGAUUAAUGCCCUCAUCCUCUCUAACCUCAAAAAGUUCAGCAUUCUCCUCCUCUAUUACAGUAGCUUUCUUCAGUCUUCCUCUCUUAUUAGUAGAAAUCUUGCUAUCUUACAUAGCAUCAAUUAACAUCUUUAUCUUAGAUCCCCAAGCAAAAUAUAAUCUAACAACCUUUGCACCAGCAUCAACCAUUUUUCCUUGCCUUUGCUUCCUUUUUGUUUCUUUAUAGAUCACCUCAGAGGUAGUUCAUCCGCAUUACCUCCUCCUCUCCAUUGGAGGUAGCAUAAAUUUUCCUUUAUUUGAACUAUCAUUCUUUUAAUUUACUACCAGUUCUUCCAUAUAAGAGGAUCACAAGUAAAAGUAAGUCUUCAGCUACCUAAUUCACACUGCUAGAAAGAUAUUUUUUAUAGGUAUUUCUUCAUUUCACUAUUGAGCAAAAAUAGGAUUUAACUCAAAGGGAGUAGGAGAACUAGGUACUUAUUGAGUUUAUAAGAUUUCUAUUUUUUUUUCUUCUAAAAAAAUAGGAAUUUGAGAGUCUUCUAAGGAAGAAGGAACUUUAGAUUGAGGGAUUUUUUGUUUAAUUAAUGAACCAAAACCUAGAUUUAAAUCCUUUACCAUGGUUAACUCAACAAAAAUUUCAAUGGUUGAGGUAGUUUUUAUGGGGACAAACUCUUUUAGGGGUUCUAGAAUUUUUGAAGAUGAUUCAGUGGGUAGAGAUGACACAGGUUCUUUUACAAAUUUAAGGAGAUGUUUUAUAUAGUUUUGGGUGUUAAAGGAUCGGACAAUUUGAUUUGGGAUUAUUCAGAUUGAUUUUUUGGGGCUUUAUCAACUUUAGGAUCUUUAACAGGAGUUGAGGAAGUGAGAAUGUCUACUAUUUUAAAUUGUGUGUAAGAGAGAAUAGGACUAGUUCAGUUCAAAGAUGAAGAACGAUUGAAGAAGAUGAAUUGAGUUAAUUUUUGAAGAGAAUAAAAAGAAGAUAAAUUUGGUUUAGUGAUUUAGUAAGGUGACCAUUGUCAUUUAAAAAGUGACUUUUUGAAAUGAUGCAUCUGACUUUAACAGGUGCGACUCUUCACAUUGCUACGAAAUGACAACUUUUCUCAAAUAAGGAAUCACACAUGGCUUUUUAGAUAGAAUUUUAUGUAUAUAAAAGCACAUUGUUUUGGUACUAAACUGAGAGAUGGGACCAGCUCCCUGUCUUUUUAGAGUGAAUCCACAAAUUUGUGUCUACUUUAUUAUUGUCUUUCAAAGUUAUUCAUAUGGGUGUAUACCUGCAAAGUUAUAGUACUUAGUUAGACUAAUUUGUACCUACUUUACCAAGAAUACCUGUCUCCUGAUCAUAGCUAAUUUUAGAAAGAAAAAACUGAUUCAUUUCACAGGUCAGGUUAAUUUGAUCAAUUUCAGCCUUAAUUUAUUUGGUUCAGUGCACCUUUUCAUUCCAAAAAUUAUUCUGUCAAUAGGUCUGGGGACUAGGUCCAAAAGUUUCUUUCAAAUUACUGAAGCUCCUCCUUUAUUUCUUUAAUCAAGUCAGUAUUUUCUGAACUUCUUUAACAUUUUUGGGAUCAAUGUACAAUAAGAAUGUUGAUAAAGUCAUGGAAUUUUUGGUUUGAGCUCUUGUUUGGAUUCUAGUCUCCAGAGGAGAAUUUAGAUCAUCGAGGGGGUGAGACUAUCUAAGCCUCUAAUUUAACCUUUUGAGAUGAGUUUCACUAAGACCAGGUUACUUAAUAUUUUGACUAGACCCUUCUUGUAUUUUUUCUACUAUGUUGGGGUCUGUAACUAAGAUCCUAGAUCACCAUCACCUUCAUAAUUCUCAUAUGCAUCAUCUUGUCCUUUACCAUCAUUCUUUAGCUCCAUCAUCCCUUUAAACAAAAAUGAGUUCUUCAAAUUUGUAUUCUUCACCAUCAACUAGAUUUACUAUCUUUCCUAACUUAUUAAGGACCACAUGCGCAUUCUCUUAAAUACACAGAGUUCUUUUUAAUGAAAACUCUAUAUGAUUUACUAUUGAUGAUUAGCCGACUGUCAAUAAGUAUAGUAUAUACAAUCACUGUAAGGAUCCUUGUUCUUUCUUUCAACAACUCCAUUUUGUUGAGGAGUCUUUGGUGCAGAGAAGUUAUGAUGGAUUUUAUUUUCAGCACAGAGUUUUUCAACUUGUAAGUUCUCAGACUCAGUUCCAUGAUCAGAUCUGAAUUUAACAAUCUUACAAUUCAACUUCCUUUAAAAUUUCUUAGUAGAAGUGAUAAUAACCUCAUAGGUUUCAUCCUCGGUUCUUAAAAACAUAGUCAGGGUGAACCUAGAGAAGUCAUCCACAACAACAAACAUAUACUUCUUUCCUCUUCUACUUUGGACUUUAAUAAGUCCACAUAGACUCAUGUGCUGUAGCACAAGAGGCUAGAGUUACUCACCUACUUUUUUAGCUUAAAUGAUUACUUGGUUUGUUUUUCCUUAGCAUAAGAAUCACAAACGUUGUUGUAUGGAAAUUUUAACUUUGGCAUGCCAUGGACCAGUUCCUUUGAGAUUAACCUGUUCAACAAAGAGGAACUAAUAUGUCCCAGUCAUCUAUGACAUAAAUCAGCAUCUUCACUUUAAACGCUUAACCAAGUUAAUUCCCCAUAAGACAGAGACUCUAAAUCAGUCACAUACAUAUUCUUGGUCCUCUUGUCUUUGAGAAUAACUCUCCUAUACUUCAAGCUUGACACAGUAUGCCCAUCAGCUGAGAAUUUGACCUUAUUGCCUUUUUCAUAGAUUUGAGAAAUACUUGGAAGACUAUACUUGAGCCCAUUCACACAGUACACAUUUUCUAUGGCUUAAUCAUAUAUUUUUCCAAUCUUUCCCACAUAAUGAAUAUAUCCCUUUUUACCAUUUUCAAAAGAGGCACCUCUACCUUGAAGUGUCUUGAGAGAAAAAAAGCAGUCAGUCCUCCCUAUCAUAAGAUUUGAACAUCACUAUCCCAUGAACCCAUUUUGAUUGCAUUCUUCUCUCCCACCUACAACCAUAGCUAUUUUCUAGAUUUAGGAACCCACUUGAGUUUGAGUUCCCAGAAGGAAGACAAAGGUGUGAUAAAAUCUUUCUUACCCAAACUAGGUAGAGAGUUCUUCUUCAUAAUUUUUAAGGGUAUGAAACCCUUAGGAUAAUAAUUCUCCUCCUGACUAUAUCUAGCACAACUUAUUUUAGCUCUAUGCCAACCUUGCCAGAUUUCCUUCAAGUGUCUAUCUCUUCCAUAAUGAAUACAUACGAAUUUGUGGACCUUGCUUUUAUCAUCAUGAACAGCUUUACCUUGAGAUCCAAGUGAAUGAUUUUUAUACUAAUAUACAAGGCCUUUACCAUUAUUGACAACUUGACUAAUUAAAUUAGAAAGGAUUUGAGAGGAUGUGGUCCACUUAAGUUAUUUGUUAAGUUUUUCCCUCAUACAAACCAGGUUCCUUUUUUAUUCUUCAUUCUUAUUGAGAGUAUUCAUAAGAUGCUUUUGAGAAUCCCUAAACUUUUAUUCAAGCUCAAUUUGAAGCCUUGAGGAUUCUUUUGUCCUUUUACCAUCAGAAUUAUCCACUUUCUUCGGUUGAUUCAUUAAUCGCAGAUUUUCAGAUUUCAACUUAGUGAAUUGUUCCUCUAUUUCAGAUAUCUGGAGAGUUAAAGCAAAAAUUCAAUCUUUUGAUUGUAUAAUUUUUCUUCUAGAGCAUUUAUAUCAAUAAAAAGUUCACACAUAAAAUUAAUUAGCAUAUUUGUAAUCUUGUUUAUCUUCCAAACAGAGUAACAAUCUUAGUUUUCACUAAUAUCAGGGAGAGUUACCCCAUUUUCUUCUUCAUCUUCUAUGUUUUCCGUAAGAGAAAAUAAGGAAUCAUAGAUAAAAUCACUAUCAUCCAUACCUAUCAUAGACACAUCUUUAGACUUUUCAACUUCAUCAGAUUUAUUGGAGUAAUCUCCCCAGACUGCUAGGGCCUUCUUCAAUGCAUAAUGAACUACAGCCUUUCUUCUUUAUUUUACAAGUACCUAGUCCCUAUUCUUUCCUUUGUCACCUCCAGUCUUAAGAUAUUCCUGGUAAUCUAAUUUUUGUAUUGGACAGUCCAUAAUGAAAUGCUCAGGACUUUCAAUUCAUGGAAAACCUCAACAGUGCCUCUUUUUUUGCUGCUAUUUCCUCUUCUUUGAAACUGACCACUUUUGUCCAUUGCUCAAAUAAUUAUUUUUGGAAAAUAGGAAAUAUCAGUGACUCCUUCAGUUGAAUAUGACUUAGAAGUCUUCAAUGCCAGAGAUUUUUCAUUUGAUACUUUCCUCUUAUCUUGUCCUUGUUACUUCUUGAGUUUAUAUGUCUUCAGAUUAUCAAUAAGUUCAUCCAUAGUGAGAGAUUUCAAGUUCCUUGCCUGAGUGAUAGCAUCCACUUUAAUUUCCCAAAAUUUAGGUAGAACCCCCAAAACUUUUCACACCUAUUUGCACAAAGGAAUUACUUCUCUUAAACAGUUCAACUCAUUGGUGAUUGAAGUGAAUCUGAUAUGCAUUUCUUGGAUAGUUUCUCUUUCUUUAAUGGUGAAGGUUUCAUAUUGAGUAGUCAUACAUCAAGUUUUGAAGCCUUCACAUCAGUGGUUCCUUCAUGAGCUGUCUUCAGACAAUCCCAGAUUUCCUUAGAAUUUUCACAAGAAGAAAUCCUAUUAUACUUAUCUGGUCUUAUGACACAGACAAGCAAUUUCCUUGCCUUAUAAUUCUUUUCAACUUUUUUUCUAUCUUUAACAUUAUACUCUCUCCUAAUUUUAAUAACCAUUAUAGUUAUGUCUCUUUCUUUGACCUCUAUUACUAGCACAUGAGGACCAUAAAGUAUUACAUCCAUCCGCUCACUAUCCUCAGCUAUAAUGAAGUCAUACAUUCUUUUUUACCACCACUCAUAGAACUGCUCAUUCAAGCAGGGUAGUCUAGUGGUUGAUUGCACUUCUUACAAAUUAGGUAAAGAGUCCAUGAUAACCAAAUAAAUUUAGGUGUGAACCUUUUAUAGUGUUUUCGCUUUAAUAACAAUUGUUACAACGUGAGGGGGUUGCACUAUACUAUGGGGGACUAGGUCCCUUAGAGUAAGACACAAGCAGUAAAAGAGUAACACAUAGAGAAACUAAAAACUUUUAGGAAAGUAAAGAAAAAAAUGAUUUAACAUGGAAACCUCCUUGAUAAAGAGAGCAAAAACCAUAGAUUGCCCUCACAAGCACUCAACAAUCCACUAUAAUCAAACUCUUAAUUACAUACUCAAUUUGAACUAAAUAUAGCUUAACUAGUUUGCAACAACUCUAUUAAAAACUCUUGUUGACAAAUAUUUCAGUAUCUUACCUCGAUAUUGAUUGAAUUUAACCAAUAUUAAUCUCAACUAACUCUACCUAAGCUGUAAUACCCUAAAAAUCUAGACCACUAUUAGAACUAUGCUUCAAGCUCAUGCAAAAUAAAUUAUAGUGAUUUGGUAGUUUUAUGAGUGAGUUUGAUUCAUAUUAAGGCCUCAAAUAACUCCUAAAUUUUAGAUAAAUCAAAAUAUCUCUUACCGAUUGAGCUUGGAAAGAAUAUUGCUAUAGUAAACUUCAAAUAAGCAUAACUUUUGUAUUACUAAGAUUUAAGGAGCUCAAGACCCACCAAUAGAUACAUAAUUGAAUUAAAUUUCCAAUGAUACUAAUUAUUUCUUAAUUUGAUAUCGAGGUAAAACGUUAUGCUCGUUUAACUAGAGAGGUGUCUGUCUAUCGAGGUGCAAUGGCCAAGAUGAUGGACCAUUAAGCAAGUGAUGGACCGUCAAGCCAGUGGUGGCCCUUCAACACAAACCAUCAACCUUAGAUAUCAAGGUCAAAUUUUAGCCAUAUAUUGAUAGUUGGAGUGAUGGUUAGUCACCAGAGUAAUGGUCGCUCACCCAAACCAUCAACCAGGGUCGUUCAGUGAUUGAAUGAUGUUUUAAAUGGGAUUUUUUGGUCUUUUCCAACCCUUUUAAACCCUAUUUCCAUCAACUUAAACAAGAUAAACUCCUCAUUCACUCUCAACAUCAAAUUAGAUUAUCCUUUCAAGAUCAUUCCCCUAAAACAAGAUUCAAGCCCUUCUUUUCAAGAAAACCAAAAAUUUGUGCUUCCUAAUGCAAGAACAUUCAAAAAAAGUUAAUUCUAUUUCAAUAUUAAAGAUUUAAGGUAAGUCAGAUGUUCAUCCAGGGGUCCUUUUCACCCAUGGAGUCUAAGAACUCAUAUUGAAGUUCAAAGUUAUUAUUUUUACGCGUUAAUAUGAAUUAUAUCCAUGAAAUUUCAUGAAUUUUGAUUAUGAUCAUGUUUAUAAUUUAUUUUGGUUGAAAUUACCCUUAAUAAGUGAGAAUGGUGAUAUUCACUUGUUAAGUCCUUAACCCAUGUUUUUAAUAUUGAAAUUAUGUGAUUAUUUCAUUAUUUAAAUAUUCCCAUGCUUUAACUCAUGACCCAUAUGUGUUUGAAGAAAUGCCUAGAUCAAUGGGUUUUAAACAAUGACUACUUAUGAUAUCCUCAAAGUUGUAUUAUGGUUCUAUAGUUAAUGCUAUCGAGUCCUGGGGUUAUGAAUACCCGAAAACUUAACUAUUUAAUUAGUCUCGGUAUCUUCAGAAUGGUUUUAAAUAUGUCAUGAGCAUUAUCAGUUUAGUCAUCAUAAUCAGUUAAACUAAGAUUAGUUCAGUAUUCUGAGUCAGUUCAGUUGGAAGUAGGAUGUAUAACCAAGAAAAUAUAGGUAUGACGUCUUCCCUAUCAGUUAGGCAGAAUUAUUUGUAGUAGUCCCUAUAUUCCAGAACUACAUAGCUAGUGCAGGAUAUGAGGAGUCACCCAUUAGUUUAGGAUUGACUUCCUCUCAGGGGUCACCUAUCAGUUUAGGGUUGACACCCUGGUCCUUCGGGACAUCAGUUUAGUGGAUCCACAUAGCCAUUGUUAGUACCGUGGCACAGUACUAGCACCCUUCCAACUGGGGUCAUAGGUUGAACCCUAAUUAGCUCAUAUUGGGGCAUGUCAGUUGUAUGAUAGCUUCCACAAUCUCAUGCCAGUAUUCAGUAUAGAAUUCAAUUUCAAGUUUUCUUGACCAUAGGAUACAGUUACCAGUUAUUCAGCUAUCAGUUUGUCAGUAUUUCAGUUUACAGACUAUUUCAGAAUCAUAUUAUAUACUUGGUAAUGCAUUCUCAUAUUUCAUAGUUUUCAUGCAUUUAUAUUCAGUUAUCUCAUGCAAUUCAUUCAAUCAGUUAUUAUUCAUGCACAUGAACCCAUGCAUAUUAUCCUAACCUCAUCUAGCAUACCAGUAUAUUCAAAGUACUGAUUGCAUAUCGUUUCUUGCUCUAUGAUGUUCAAUAUCAUAGGUCAGGACGCUUAGGUUCUAGAUCGUACUUAGACAUUCUAGUGCAUCAGCAGUAGCAGCAACAGUGGUGAGUCUUCAUCUAUCGAGGACAUAGUUGUUAUUUUAGUUUAUUUCAGUAUUUUAUUUUAAUUUAUCAGUCAAAGUUAGUUGGGGCCUAUCCUAUCUACUCUCUUUUAGAUAGUUUUAGAGGCUUUCAGACAUUUUAGACAGUCAAUUACUUUUUGGUCUUUUCAAUUAGAUUUUUAAUAUUUUUGUAUAUGUUUUAGACUUUUGUAUUUUCAGAUUUAAAACUUUAAGGCAUAUUCAGUUAUUCUACAUAUAUGUAUUUCAUUAUUAUUAUUUAGUGCUCACAGUAGGUACCAGUACAUGGGUUAACUUGUGGUUUUUCGUCAUCAUAAACGCUAUGUGGCAUCCAAGGUGUAUUUUUAGGCCAUUACAAACUUGGUAUCCGAGCUUAAGGUUUUGGAGUAUCCUAGGGAGUUUGAAAGUCACAUUGAGCAGAGUCUUAUGCAUAGGUGUGAAUCACGCCACACUUACGGACAAGAGGCUACAAGACAUUUUUAGGAAAAGUUUCCCUUCUUUCAGUAUUCAUGUCAUGUAAAUGAGCAUGAGCUCAGAUUAAACUCCCUUUAUAAUCCAAUCUUCCUUCUAUUUACAGUGAACAUGCCUCCUACAAAUAAUAACAAAAGAUGAAACAGGUAUUAGCCCGCACCUCGCCCAUUCAGGAAGAUCCCCUAAAUGAGUAUGUUUUGCAUGUAGAGUUCAAAGAUGUAUUCAUUACUCUGCCUUACUCUGUACGAUCUCAGAAAAAUCAGCCAGCUGUUAUCCCAGAAAACCUAGUGGCUAAUACCACCGCAUCUAAGAUUUGGGAAUUCACCCGAAUGAAUCCUUCUCUAUUUUUGGGAUCCAAGUCUGAUGAGGAUCCAUAUGGAUUCCUUGACAUAGUUUAGAAGGUAACAAAAAUUAUGGGUGUGACUUCUAUUUAUAGUGAAGAAUUGUUUGUUUACCAUUUACAAAAUGUAGCUCACACUUGGUCUAAGCAGUGGAAUGGGGAUAGAGACGCAGAUGUAGGACCUGUAGAAUGGGAGGAGUUUGCUAUGACCUUUUUAGAUAUAUUCAAUCCUUUAGAGUUUAGGCAAGCUAAGGUUUUGGAUUUCAUUAAUUUGAAGUAGGGAAAAAAAAGUGUGAAGGAGUAUUCUCUUGAGUUUACUCAACUAGCCAGGUAUGCUCCUCAUGUGGUGGCUAAUAACAUGUCUAGGAUAAGCAAGCUUAUGUUUGGUGUAUCUGAUAAUAUGGUCAAGGAGUGUAGGACCACAAUGUUUAUUAAGGAUAUGGACUUGUCUAGGCUUAUGGCCUAUGCUCAAUAGAUUGAGGAAGAGAAGGUUAAGGAGAAAGAAAGAGAGAACAAGAGGGCUAGGACAGGUAGUUUCAACUUUGCUCAGCUGAGAUCAGAGCGUAGUAACCAUCCCUGAUCCUAUCAAAAAUCUUCAGCUCUGGCUCCAUCUUAAGCUAGUACUCUUAUGCAAAAGUUCAGAAAUGACAAUCAGGAUAGAGCGCCAGGAUCUAAGUCCCAAGGUAAUGUAAACAUAGGUUGCACAAAUCCUCUUUUCAAGAAAUAUGGUAGAAACCAUCAAGGUGAGUGUAGAGCCGAAAGUGAUGUAUGCUUUAGGUAUGGCAAGCCAGGCCACCAAAUCUGGAAGUGUCAGGUAGUUUCUCUAAAGGGAAGAGAUUUGCGCCAACAGGGCUAGACCCAUCUAUCUUCAGCUCCAGCAGGGCACCCAAUAUAUCAGGGCGCCACCUCCAAUGCCAUCAGCGGUCAACGCCAGAACAGACUAUAUGCACUUCAAUCUCGAUAGGAUCAUGAAAGUUCUCUGAUUGUGGUUUUGUAUAUGUUGCAGGUCUUUCAUUUACAUGUAUAUACUUUGUUAUAACUUGGAACCUAACUUUAUUUUAUAACCCCCUAUAUAGUUAUUAAUUUUGGUGUCCGUCCUAAACCCUUCUUAGGGUCCACUCUAGUAGGUGUCUCAAUUAUAGCAAGGCAGGUAUACAGAAACUGACCGAUCAUAAUAUCCCAGAAAGUCAAUUUAGUUGAACUUGUGGAGUUAGAGAUGAUCAAUUUUGAUGUCAUUCUCUGCAUGGAUUGGCUCCACUCAUGUUAUACCUUAGUUGAAUGCAGAAAUAAGGUCAUUCCAUUUUAGUUUCCGAAUGAACUAGUCCUUGAAUUGAGGGGUAGUACUUAAUCCCUUAGGGGUCAACUUAGUUUAUAUCUUAUAGUGAGAAAAGUAAUAUCUAAAGGAUAUGUUUAACAUCUUGUUUCAGUCAAAGACUCUAGUUUUGAUACUCUCAAUCUCGAGUCGAUUCAGUAGUGAGGGAAUUUCUAGAUGUGUUCCCUCAAGACCUUCUCGUAGUUCCUCACAAAAGGGAAAUUGACUUCAAAUAGACCUUAUUCUAGAUACCCAGCCUAUAUUUAUUCUGCCAUAAAGAAUGGCUCUAGAUGAACUAAAAGAUUUGAAAGAACAGUUAGAAGACCUCCUAGAUAAGGGAUUCAUAGGCCUAGUGUUUCCGCAUAGUGAGCUCCAGUCCUUUUCAUGUUAAGAAAGAUGGUUCCCUUAGAAUAUGUAUUAAUUACCAUCAGUUGAACAAAGUCGCCUUUAAGAAUAAAUAUCCACUCCCUAAAUCGAUGACUUAUUUGACCAACUUCAGGGUACCAAUUAUAUCUCUAACAUAGACCUUAGAUCCAGCUUUCAUCAGCUCAAAGACAAAAAAUGUGACAUUCCAAAAAUAGUUUUCAAAACUCGAUAUGGUCACUUCAAAUUCCUAGUCAUGUCUUUUGGACUAAUGAAUUCCGUAGCAGCUUUCAUGGACUUGAUGAACAGAGUGUUCAAAUAGUUCUUGGGCAUGUUCUUCAUAAUCUUCAUUGAUGACAUUCAUAUCUAUUCCCACGGUGAAAAUGAUCAUGCAGACCAUCUCAAAAUUGUAUUGCAAACUCUUAGAGCCCAUCAGUUGUUCGCCAAAUUUAGUAAAUGCAAAUUUUGGCAAAGAUCAGUAGCUUUCCUUGGCGAUAUUAUUUUUGGUGAUAGAAUUAGGGUUGAUUCUUAAAAGACCAAAGUAGUGAGAAAUUGGCCUAGACCAAUCUCUCCAUCAGAUAUCAGGAGUUUCUUGGGUUUGGAUUGCUAUUACCCAUGAUUUGUUAAAAGUUUUUCAUCUAUUGUGUCCCCCAUGUUUAGAUUAACAUAGAAGAAAGUCAAGUUUCACUGGUCAGAUUCUUGAGAGAAGAGUUUUCAGGAGUUGAACCAUCGACUCACCUCAGCCUUAGUUUUGACAUUGCCAAACGAUUUAGAGAGAUUUGUUACUUACUGUGCUGCUUCUAGAGUUGGUAUUGAUUGUACGUUGAUGCAAAGAGGUAAGGUCAUAGGCUAAGCCUCUAGAUAACUUAAACCACUUGAAAAGAAUUAUCAUACCCAUGAUCUUAAGCUAGUUGUUAUCAUUUUUGCCUUGAAAUUUUGGAGGCAUUAUCUCUAUGGGGUGCAUGUUGAUGUGUUCACGAACCGCAAAAGCUUGCAGUAUUUAUUUUCAUACAAAGAUUUGACUUUUUCAUUAGAAAGGAUGGUUGGAGUUUUUGAAAGACUAUAAUAUGAGUGUUUUGUAUCACCUGGGCAAGGCCAAUAUAGUAGCAGAUACCCUUAGUAAAUUGUUGAUGGGUAGUGUUACCCAUGUUGAGAAUAAUAAGAAGUUAGUUCAAGAGGUUCAUCAGCUUGCUAGAUUAGGUGUCGUUUGGUUGAUUCAAUUAAGGAUAGUGUUUGGGUUCAGAGUAGUUCAAAAUCUUCAUUGGUUUCCAAAGUAAUUAGGAAGCAAUAUAGGGAUCCCAGUUUAGCUAAUUUGAAAGUAUCAGUGAGAGACCAGAAAGUUAAGGUUUACUCCCAAGGGGUAGAUGGUAUACAGCGUCGUCAGGGUAGUCUGUGUGUUCUAUGUGUUGAUAAUUUGAGGCAGCAGAUUCUUGCAGAGGCACGUGGUUUGCGUUACUCUAUUCACCCAGGAUACACUAAGAUGUACCAUAAUUUAUGAGAAAUCUAUUAGUGGAGUGGUAUGAGGAGAUACAUUGCACAGUUUGUGUCUAAGUUUUCUAACUUUAAGUAGGUUAAGGUUCAGUACUAGAGGCCUUAUAGCACCUUACAGGAUUUUUGCAUUCCCACUUGGAAGUGAGAAGAGGUGAACAUGGAUUUUCUGACAGACUUGCCUCAUACGCCUCAUCAACAUGAUUGGAUAUAGGUCAUUAUACAUAAAAUGACCAAAUUGACCCAUUUCCUGUUAGUCCAUACUUUUUAUUCGGUCGAGGAUUAUGUGAAACUCUAUCUCAAAGAAUUGGUUAGGUUGUAUGGAGUCCCAUUAUCUAUCAUUUUAGAUAGAGGUACCCAAUUUACCUCUCACAUUUAGAGGGCUUUUCAGAAAGGUCUUGGCAUCUAAGUUCAUCUUAGUACAUCUUUUCAUCCUCAGAUAGAUGGUCAAGCAGAGACGACCAUUGAGAUCCUAGAGUAUAUGUUAAGGGUGUAUGUUCUUGAUUUAAAAGAUAGUUGGGAUGCUCAUUUACCCUUAAUUGAGUUUGCCUACAAUAAUAGUUAUCACUCUAGUAUUCAGAUGGCUCCGUUUGAGGCUCUUUAUGGGAGAAGAUGUUGAUCUUCUAUUGGUUGGUUUAAGGUAGGUAAGACUAUAGUAUUAGGGCCUGAUUUAGUGUAUGAUGCAAUGAAAAAUGUUUAGGUAAUUAGGGAGAUGCUUAAGAUAGCCCAAAUCCAACAGAACUCCCAUACAGAUGUGAGGAGAAGAGAUCUUGAGUUUGAGGUUGGUGACUUUGUCUAUCUAAAAAUAUCUCCCAUGAAGGGGCUGAAAAGAUUUGGAAAAAAAGGGAAGCUCAAUUCUUAAUAUGUUGGCCCUUGUAAAAUCUUGAGCCAUUCAGAAUCAAAUUGCAUACUAAAUACCCUCUCUUUUCUCUAAAAAUUCAGAUUCAGCUUAAGGUAAUGAUUUUCCUCAGAUUGACUCUCUUUAGUUCUCAGUUUCAGCUGUGUAAUCCAUCUCAUGUCAUUACAUACAUUCAUGGAUGUCUCUUCAGUCCAUGUAUCAUGUUUUAGACUCGGUUAUGCUAUCAUGUUCCCAUUCACACAUGUUCAGUAUAUGAUCUCAGAUUCUUCAGUACUCCCAGCUAAACUAGCCUCAUUCGAGGACGAAUGUUCCCAAGGGGGAGAUAUUGUAAUACCUCAAAAAUCAAAACCAAUAUCAAAAUCAUGCUUCAAGCUUGUGAAAAACAAAUUAUAGUGAUUUUGUAAUUAUAUGAGGGAGUUUGAUUCAUAUUAAGACAUCAAAUGACUCCUAACUUUUAGAUAAAUCAAAAUAUCCCUUACCAAUUGAGUUCUUGUUAAGAAUGUUUCUAUAGUCAAAUUCAAAACCACAUAAAUUUUGUAUUAAUAAGAGUUUUUUAUAUCAAUACCAACCAAUAGAUAUAUAAUUAAAUUAUCUUUCCAACGAUACUAAUUUUGCCUUAAUCCGAUAUCGGGGUAAAAAGUUAUGCCCGUUUUACCAGAGAGGUGUCUGUCUAUCAAGAUGCGAUAGCCAAGGUGACGGACUAUCAAGCCAGUGAUGGACCGUCAACCCAGACAGAUAAACUUAGGUAUAAAGGUCGAAUUCUGGCCAUAUAUUUAUGGUUGGAGUGACGGUCAAUCAUCAAAAUGAUGGUCUGUCACCCAGACCAUCAAUCGGGGUCGUUUAGUGAUUAAAUGACACUUUUAAUGGGGGCUUUUGGUCUUUUUCCACCCUUUUUAGUCCCUAUUUUGAUCAACAUAAAUCCUCAUUUACUCUCAAUAUCAAAUUAGGGUAUUCUUUCAAGAUCAUUCCUCUGGAACAAGAUUCAAGCCCUUCUUCAAGAAAACCAAGAAAUUGUGCUUCCCAAUACAAGAACGUUCAAGAAAAGUUAAUUCUCCUUCAAGAUUAAAUCUUUAAGGUAUGUUAAAUGCUCAUCCAUAGGUCAUUUUCACUCAUGGAUUCAUAGAACCCCUUUUCAAGUUCAAAGUUAUGAUGUUUACGUGUUAGUAUGAAUUAUAUCCAUGAAAUUUCUUGAAUUUCGAUUAUGUAUCAUGUUUACAAAUUAUUUUUGUUGAAAUUACCCUUGAUACGUUCAAAUGGUGAUAUUCACAUAUUAAAUCCUUAACCCAUGUUUUUAAUAUUGUAAUUAUGUGAUUAUUACAUAAUUUAACUACUUCCAUGCUUUAACUCAUGACCCCUAUAUGUUUGAUAAAAUGCCUAGAUGAAUGGGUUUUCAACAAUGACUACUUAUGAUGUCCUCAAAGUUGUAUUAUGGUUCUAUUGUUAUUCAUAUCGAGUCCUGGGGGUUAUGAAUACCCGAAAACUUAGUUGUUUACUUAUUCUCAGUAUCUUCAGUAGGGUUUCAGAUAUAUUAUAAGCAUUAUCAGUUUAGUUAGCUAUCAUAAUCAAUUAAACUUAGAUUAGUUCAAUAUUUUGAGUCAGUUCUAUUAGGAGUAGGAUUUAGCACCGAGCGAAUAUAGGGAUUACAUCUUCCCCAUCAGUCAGGCAGAGUCGUUAGUAGCAAAACUACUUAGCCAGUGCAGGAUAUGAGGAGUCACCCAUCAGUUUAGGAUUGACUUCCUCUCAAGGGUCACCUAUCAAUUUAGGGUUGAUACCCUAGUCCUUCGAGACAUCAGUUUAGUGCAUCCACAUAGACAUUGUUAGUACCCGUGGCAUGGUAUUGACACCCUUCCAACUGGGGUCACAGGUUGGACCCUAAUUAGCUCAUAUUAAGGCAUGUCAGUUAGAUGAUAGCUCUCAUAGUCUCAAACUAGUAUUCAAUACAGAGUUCAGUUGACCAGAGCAUAUAAUUACCAGUUAUUCAGUUAUUAGUAUGUCAGUAUUUUAGUUUAAAGACUAUUUCAGAAUCAUAUUAUAUUCUUGGUCAUGCAUUCUCAAAUUUCAUAGUUUUCAUGAGUUUGUAUAUAGUUAACUCAUGCUAUUCAUUCAGUCAGUUAUUAUUCAUGCUUAUGAACCCAUGCAUAUUAUCCUAACCUCAUCUAGCAUACCGGUACAUUAAAAGUACUGAUCGUAUACUCAUUUCUUGCGCUAUGAUGUUUAAUAUCAUAGGUUCGGUCGCUCAGGUUCCCGUUCGUAUUUAUACAUUUCAAUGUAUCAGCAGCAGCAAUAGUGGUUAGUCCUCAUCAAUAGAGGACAUGGUUGUAAUUUUAGUCUAUUUCAAUAUUUUAUUUCAGUUAGACAGUUAUAGUUAGUUGGGGACUAUCCCAUCAACUCUCUUUUGGACAGUUUAAGAGGCUUUCAGACAUUUUAGAUAGUCAGUCAGUUGUUGGUCUUGUCAGUCAGAUUUUUAAUAUUUUUGCAUAUGUUUCAGACAUUUGGAUUUUCAGCUGUAUUAUUUUCAAAUUUAAAACCUUAAGGUGUAUUCAGUUAUUCCGCACAUAUGUAUUUCAUUAUUAUUAUUCAAUGCUCAUAGCAAGUACCAGUUAAUGGGUUAGCUUGUUGUCUUUCGGGACCGUAAGCACUGUGCGGCAUCCAGGGUGUAUUUUAGUGGCGUUACAUAAGCACUCUUGGAACACAAGAAAAGCAUUACUAUUAUAACACGAGUAAUUCAAUUGCAGACCAUGACUUGACUCAAGAACACUCAAUCUUUCAGUACAUACAGAAAUUAAGAACUUGAGCAAUGUUACAAAGUUGAGUUUUCACCUAUUGUCUACUUUUAUAUUCUUGUUUUCCAAAAACUCACCAAAAGCUUUCUUUUCUAUUUAUAGUGAAAUAAUUAUUAGGGCAAAAAUAUGAUUAGGUAGGUGUCCUGACUGGUACACAUCUCACCUGCUCAGUUUUUUACACUAGACAACAAAACUGUGCAGGCUAUGUGAUGGCUAUAUAUUUCCAUGAAGACAUAGGGACCUGGUCCUUGUUGUUAGUUGAUCAUAAUCAAAACAAGAUAUAGCAUAAGUCAUAUGCCAUGACUAUGAGAAAUAUCACCUCUAUGAGCCAAAUGUCACACUAAGAGAGAAUAACAUCUCUAAAGGCCCAAUAUUAUAUCUAAGAGGAAAUAACAUCUUUAAAGGCCCGAUAUCAUAUCUAAGAGGAAAUAGCAUCUCGAAAAUACCAAUAUCAUAUCUAAGAGGAAAUAACAUCUCUAAAGGCCCACUAUCAUAUCUAAGAGGGAAUAACAUAUCUGAAGGCUCAAUAUCAUAUCUAAGAGGAAAUAACAUCUCUAAAGGCCCAAUAUCAUAUCUAUGAGGGAAUAACAUCUCUAAAGGUCCACUAUCAAUCUAAGAGGGAAUAACAUCUCUAAAGGCCAAAAAUUAUAUCUAAGAGGAAAUAAUAUCUCUAAAGGCCUAAUAUCAUAUCAUAGAGGAAACAACAUUUCUAAAGGCCCAAUAUCAUAUCUAAAAAGGAAUGACAUCUCUAAAAGUGCAAUAUCAUAUCUAAGAGGAAAUAAUAUCUCUAAAGGUCAAAUAUCAUAUCUAGGAGGAAAUAACAUCUUUAAAGGCCCAAUAUCAUACUUAAAAGGAAUAUCAUGGCAUAAGCCAUUAAUCAUUAUCUGGGAAAAAAUACAUCAUGACUCAUCAACUCGUAAAGUAACCUUAUUCCAAUGGAUUACUAAUCUUAACUAUGCCUAACAUUCACUAACAACUCCACAUGAGCUAACACAAGUCUUGGCCUAUGGUAGGCAAGAAGAACCCACUUCCAAUCCGCAAUUUCCAUAUUUAGGCAAUUUAUACCCCAAACUGGGCUAAGGUAUCUAGUUAAACUUCUAGAUGUCAAUUAAGUUAUAACCAAUCCUAGGAUAGAAACUUCAUCUAAAAACAUGGGUAUUAAAGUGAACUCCACCUAAAUUAUGGUUUCAAGAUCACCACAACAGCUCAAAUAAGGUUAAAUAUACCAACCACACUUCCAAUGCUAAAACCAUAUCCCAAACCUAGCAUUAUAUCAUAUCCAUUCAAUGAAUUAGUUCAAUCUACGUAAAAGGCAAUAAAAUUCUAAAAAGUGCAAUAAGUAUUUCAACUUACGGGUCAAAACCCUCUAUCAAUCCCCUAACUUCAAUAAUCAAGGCUAAGUCAAUCUACCCAUAGUCAAAUUUAACAUUCAUAUACAUACGCAAUGUAUAACAUGCAUCAUCUUACGGAGAAGAGUAGAUAAAAGCCUACCCCAAAGCCGAAAAUCAAAUCCUUAUAUCAUACACCAGACGUCCAUCUUCACUUCACAAUCACAAAAUGCCAUCACACUAUCAAAAUCGUUGUCACGCCCCAAAAUGAUAAUGACGGUCAAGAACCAUAUACACUACAUUACCAACACUAGGUGACAUACGCAAGAUUAUGGGACAAUAAUGGGUAAGAUAUGAAGUAUAAGCUAUGUAUAUACAUGAGGGAGUAAUAUUAGCAAAACUAGACAAUACAAUGCCUAACAUAGAUGUUUGCUAUCCAGAGGAUCUGAGCCUACAUUAAUAAAAUGUGGUGCCCAUGCAAGGUCAGUACACAAACAACAUGUAAUAGUAUAAAAGUAGACAAAAUAAUAGUUGGACAAGUACAGAAGCUUAUAUGAGUCAAAUAUCAAAGUGUAUGAUCCAACAAGUAACACAUAUACGAUAUGAACAGGUAACCUAUGCACCGAUCUUAUAGUAUCUUAUAUAAUAUUUAAAAAAGCAUUCAUUAAAAUACAAGUCCUAUAAUUUGCCUAGCUGAUGUAUUUAGCCUAUAAGUCAUACAAAUGAUCACAAGAUGGCUUACCAAAGGAAAUAUGAGUCAAGUAUAAAGCAUAUGUUGCUUAUAUAUUUAUUGCUAUGAUCCCAUAUGUAUAACUGUAAUCAUAGUCUGUAACCAGGUAUGCCCCACCUAGAGGCUCACUUGAGGGUCUGCCCAUAGUCCAUAUUUGCCAUAUAUUGGCUCGAGUCAUGGAAAACCAACGCAUAAUGUUUCAGCUGACUCCAAAUACAAAUAAUAUCACAAGGCUGGUAUGCCCAAUGGUUCGGCUCACUAUAAUGGUCUGAUCUCAACUUUGUGCACAGAAUCACAUUGAGUGAUUUGUGAAUCCAAACCUAUGUACCCUCCCAUCGUUAAUGUAUAUCAAAUAAUGCCUUGAAGGUCGAUAACAUUUAAAUUACGACAAUGAUCGAUUAGCUAACACAUACAAGUGCAACUAUGUUGUUACUAUUUACUUUUACUCCUAACUUAUGAUAUACAUAUAUAUUUUGGCCUAUGGGCUUCAAGUAAAGAAACUUAUGAUAGUAUAGAAGUAUCAUGGGAACUUACACAAAGAGAAAAAGAUAGAUACUUAUGAGCUUGAUGGUAGAACGUGGGAAUGAUAUGUAAGGCAAUAUAAAUAUUUUACUUUCGUAUUUCAUGAGAAUUUUAUUAACAUUAUUAGGAAGAAGCAU